This 74554-nucleotide long non-coding RNA is filed under the name Medicago truncatula (barrel medic). Its description in RNAcentral is "long non-coding RNA (MTRU_LNC004057)". The stretch from base 65334 to 65421 matches the Rfam family "MIR2617 microRNA precursor family". Lineage: Eukaryota; Viridiplantae; Streptophyta; Magnoliopsida; Fabales; Fabaceae. The record is from RNAcentral.
UCAGAUUGAAAAAAGUGUUAUGGAACAUGGUAUUUUAUAAAUAUCUUCAUCAUAGUUGUCAAACCUGAACAACGUCUGAUAUAAGAAUGGAAGGAUGGCCACUAUAUCAAUAAAUAAUUAUUUUUUCAGUAAAUAAUUUAUAUCUUAAUUUAAAUAAAAACUACGUAUACCAAAAUCUUGCAAAUUAAGCAAAGAAAAUAAACACCGCUUGAAAAAAAUAGAUAAGUAAUAAUUAAAUAAGGUACGAAAUGAGAAAUUGCAAAGGAUACUGACUCAUCAAUGAAGUUUUUCCGACCCCAAGAAAAAAGAAAAAAUUAAAUUAGAGAAAACGAAAAGAGGGAACAAAAACCCUAAGUGAAGGUUACAUACAUACCCACUGUCACCUAGAAUGAUGACUCUGACCAAUGUUCCUCUGCGUAAUGCCAUUGAUUGAUUCUGGAUUAUUAAGGAUUAUACUUGAUGGAUUUAUAUAUAGUUGCGGAGUUGAAUUGUGGAUCGAGGUUUGAGAGAUGAGAGAGAAAAUGGAUAUAUGAUAAAAAUAAGAGAAAGGGGGCACCAAUUUCGAUAAAUUUGAUUUUUUUUGGUCACCUACACUAUUUAGCUACACACUUGAAUUGCUUUCAACACCCUCUUAUUUAUUUUUAUNCAUAUUUCUUCUCAUAACAAUAUUUAAUUCUAACCAGAACAAUAAUCCUAAAAACAAUAACCCUUGGGCUUGUAUAUCUGAUAAAGAUUGUCAAAAAGUACAUGGGGUGAAUAUUAGGUGUCGUAAAGGUUUUUGUACAGUGAUUUGAAACAUACCACUAAGAUGAAGUACCUCUUGUACUUGGAAACAAUAGUGCUUAUCUUGGAAUAAUUUACUUGCUGAAGUUUAGUCUUUGUUCUUGCACUGAAUAAUUGUUUUUUUCUUCCUAGUUCAUAGUUCUUCAAAUUAUUAUUUUGUACUACAAGAUGGUGAAAAUGAAAUGAUAUAAGUGUUUACAAGUGUUUUUGAUAAACUGUAAAUCUAGUUUUAAUUAUUAAAAGAAGGAUCAAACUAGAAAUCAAUCCUAGAAUAUGUUGUGCAAUCGUUUUCCAAAAAAUAAAUGAAUUUUCAUCGUAUUUAUAGGUUUCGUUAUGAACAAGACAAAUUUAUGUUUAAAAAAGAUAAUGAUUCUAUAAUUUUAAGGGUUUUUAAAAAGAUAAAACUAUUUACUCAAUAUUAUAAGAUCAUUUUUUUUGACAAGUAAUAUUAUAAGACCAUGGAAUUUAUACACUAUAAAGAGAUCAAGUCAUGUGCUAUUGUUUAGAUACAAAGAGAGAAAUAUAUGGAUAAAACUCUAAAGUUUACGAUAUUUUUAAAGUUUAUUUGAAGGACAAAGUCAUUAAAAGAUAAAUACAUAAUAUUUAUAUUUAUCUUUUUUAAAAACCCUUCAUAAAAUUAUAGAAUCAUUAUCAAAUGUCUCUUAAGUAUGUCAGUCUGUUAUGUAAGAUCCAGGUAUUUAUCUCAUUUUUAUGUUAAAUUAUUUUAUUAUAAUUUAACCUUAAGGUGUUUUAUUCUUGCGAGCGAUGAUAUUAUUUUAUAAGUUUUCAAAUUUUAUAGAUAAUACGUGCUUCUAAUUAUUUAAUUAAUACAAUAUUUAUUUUAUUUUUCACUCCAAAAAAAUUAAUUAAAAUUAUUUUAGUUUAAUUUAGCACCGCCUAUUUUAUUAUAUAUUUCUUUUUGCGAGGAUCUAUUUAUUAGAUUAUGAACGUAAUAAUAGACUCUAUAAUAAUAUCCAAACCACCAUGGAACAACUAGUAGAAAAAGUUAAAUAUCACUCUUUGUGGUGGCUAAAGGCUAAGAAGGCCAACUUUAUGUACGGUUCACAAAGACGGUGGUCGGACCCUUUAUUAUGUUUGGGUAUCAACCGACUAGCACAUUGACUCUUCAUUGUAUGGUUGACUAUUUCUAGGGAUGGCACUUUUAGUACAUCUUGUACUUAGGUGUUUCACUGCCGUUGUUAAUAUAUCCCAUUUUUAUGUCUUCAAAAAAAAGAUUAUGAGUAUCAGUAAUAAUAAAUUAAAUAAUUUUUGACCAAAAUACAGUCAUGGUUGGAAAUUUAUUUUGUGGAUACCUUAUAACCACUAUUGCCUAUUAAUUUGAUAAAAGAAUUGACUUGCAUUAGUUAAAGCAUCAUGUAAUUUUGAGUGGAUUUCUUCUAUUUUCAAUAUACAUAGGCUUAGAGUAACUCCCUAUUAGCACAGCGUUAGGUUUCUUGUGGUGCAAGCAAAACAAAACUAGGGUUUCAAUGGAGAAGAUGAAGUUGGUUAUGGUGGUUGAAGUUAGUUGAAGGGAGAGAGUAUUGAAUUGAAAAUUUUAUUCACACACAAAUGAUUGAGUUACAAGCAAAUAUAUAUACAAUGACUUAUAGAGUAAGUCUCUUGUAACUAACUAAAGUGAAGUUUAUCCAAACUAACAAACUAAACUCUUAAGUGUUUGUUAAUCAUUUGGAUAUAUAUAAUUUUGUUUUAGCUUCUUAAAAAAAAUCACUUGAUCUUACUAAUAAUUUAUUCACGUGUAACCUUUGCUUCUCUCUUAGCUUGAUCCAGUGGUAACCUGUCUUUUAUUUUACUUUUUUGUUAAAUAGCUUAAUGGAGAUCAAAUGGUCCACUGACUAGACUCUAGGCAUGGCAAUGAGGCAGGGUAGAAACGAGUUUCACCUUCUCCGUCCCCAUAUUCUACAAUUAUUUAUUUACCCGUUACGCUACCCAUAUUCAACGGGGAUGAGAAAUUGAAUCUCAUUCUUGUCCCCGAUAGAUUCAGGUCUCCCCGCCCCAUUUUCAUCCCAGAGUGGAUAUAUAUUUUUAAUAAAAAUAAAAGUAUUUUUCAGCCUUGAGUGCAAUGUUGUAAUGCAAUAUUGAAUAAAGAGAUGAUGACGAUCAAUGACUAUGUUGAUGGAGAAGAGAGAGGAGAGUGUGAGAUAUGAAAGGAGAAAAAGAGAAUUAUGAUAAGUGAUUGUCAUCUUAAAGAACGAGACUUUGUCACGUGAGUGAAAUGAUUUAAGAUUUGAGUUUCUAUUUAUAUAAAAUAGGUAAUAAAUUAAUUUUCUACAUUCAUGACAGGUUUGGGAGUUGCAAAAUUUUAUAAAUGUAGAUUAGCAAGAAUUGCAAGAAUAACAAAUGAUCAUUUGUUUAAACCAUUAAGCCGAUGGUCGCACAAUUCGGUUUGAUGGAAAUCACUUCGGCUAAGCUUUAUAGAUGGUUCAUUCUUGCUUUUCUUGCCAUGAGAUUUUGUAAUAUUUUUCAUUAUCCAUAAAAUUUAUAUAUUUGUUUUACAUCUUAACAAAUGCAUGACCCUUUUUUAUGAGAAAUGAAACUCUUUUUUUUCACCCAAUAAUUUAAGAUAUACUUAUAUUAUUUGUAUGAUUUAUAUGAUUUAUUUUGAUGAGUGAUAUUUUGUUAUGAUAUAUGUUGGUAUUUAUUAGUAUAAUAUAUAUGCUAUUUGAUUUAGAAAUAUAUAUAUAUUAUUUGAUUUAGAAAUAUAUAUAUGUUAUUUGGUUUAGAAAUAUAAAUGUCAUUUGAUUUAGAAAUAUAUAUGUUAUUUGGUUUAGAAAUAUAAAUGUUAUUUGAUUUAAAAAUAUAUGUUAUUUGAUUUCGAAAUAUAUAUGUUAUUUGAUUUAGAAAUAUAUAUAUAUAUGUGUUAUUUGGAUUAGAAAUAUAAAUGUUAUUUGUGAUAGAAAUACAUAUGAUUUGUUGCAGAAAUAAAUGUGAUUUGUUAUAGAAAUAAAUGUUAUUUGUUGUAGAAAUACACAUGAUUUGAUGUAGAAAUAUAUUUCUUAUUUGGUGUAGAAAUAUAUAUAUAUGUUAUAGAGAUAUAAUUGUUAUUUGUUACAUAAAUAUUUUAUAUAUAUAUAUUAGAAUAGAAUAUUGAGAUUUUGGUAGGCAAUCUAAUAUAUUUUUGUACUAGAUAAUAUAUUUUUGUACUUAAUAUAAUAUAUUUUGGUACUCAAUUGAUAUAUUUAAUUACUAGAUCUAAUAGGUGCAUUACUUGUUUCCAAAGUUUCUCACUUAUUAGUUGUAAAUUAUCUCUAUAAAUAGANNNNNNNNNNNNNNNNNNNNNNNNNNNNNNNNNNNNNNNNNNNNNNNNNNNNNNNNNNNNNNNNNNNNNNNNNNNNNNNNNNNNNNNNNNNNNNNNNNNNUUUUGAGGGAAGAGAGAGAAAAGUGUUUCUCAAUUGUUUAUAAUACUUUUUUUAUUUAUUUUAUUUUGACUAUUGUUGACCAAAAAAUUUAACACGUGAAUGAAUAAUGAAUGGGUACUUGUUACUCUUUUAAUACUUGUAUUUUUUUUUUUUUUUAGGGAUGGUAUUUUAUUUUAUUUUUUUUUGAAGGAGGGGAUGGUACUUGUUGUAUUGGAUGUAACACUUUUACUCAAUUGUUACUAUAUCAGCUAACAAUUUUUCAAGUGUUGCAAUCACGUUGUUGCUAAAAGUCAUUAUUGUAGUAGUGCGUGAAUCAAUGCUUCGUGUGCCUCCGUGGUUUUUAUCUCCUUUCACUUCUGCUGGAUGUUGCGUCAACCAACCUAGGAAUAAAAUCCCACAUCCCUUUAUAUUUCAGCAUGUUUCCACUUGUUAAUUUCUAUUCUUUUUUUUUUCUUUUCUUUUGUUGCACCUCCUUCUUUCCAACUUCAAACCAAUUCAAUCAAAAGUCUUUUUUUUUUUAUUUUUUAUUGGCCAUCGUAACAUUUAAGUUGCUAAUGUUUUCUUCUUUUUUAUCAUAGCUUAUGACCACACACAACCUAACUAAAUAAUAAUACUAAUAGUAAUAUUCACGGUUUGACUCAAUAAAUUAAAAGUGACCAUUUAUUUAAAAUCACUCUAAAUUAAAUACACUGACAAUGCAACCAUAAAGUACUUGAUCACCAAAUCCGAUUCCAAGCGGAGUCUCAUUCGAUGCUCUUGCUUCAAGAGUUUGAUUUGGAAAUCAAAGAAAAAAGGGUGACCGAAAACAUGGUGGCCAAUCAUCUUUCAAGCUUGGUGAAUGAUGAAGUAACAAUGAAUGAGAAAGAGGUGCUUGAAGAAUUCCCGGAUGAAAAGUUGCUAAUGGUGCAAGAAAGGUCAUGGUUUGCCUACAUGGCAAACUAUAAAGCAACGGGGUUCAUUCCGAAGAAUUUCACUUGGCAAUAAAAGAAGAAGUUUCUAUGUGAUUCCGCACAAUAUGUAUGGGAUGAUCCCUAUUUGUUAAAAAUUGGAGCAGAUGAUGGAUUAGUAUGGAGGUCUGCCAUAAAAGAUGACGGCAUACCAUAAGUUUGGUUUCUAUCGAAUAACCAUGUAUUCAGAAAUGAUUGACUUCCAAAACCAACUUAUGAUUGUGCAACAACAGCAACGGUUGAUGCCCAGCGGGUAUCGUCGAAGAAACGUGAGUGGGAACCAUUGCCCCCAACGUUUCUAUAUGACUUACGCCAGCGGUUGGCAUAACUGGUGGAUUUUGCGGUUGUGAAGUAACUUCCAAUGUUGCAUCUUCCAUCGAUGGAUCUGAUGGACUAGAUUGUUAAUCUUUGUUACGUGUAUUACGUACCAUUUAUGGGAGUUUCUUUUUGCUCCUUAAGAACAUGCACAACAAAAAUCAGAAGAUUUAAAGACAGAAAACGAACAAAUUAUUCAGAAAAACUGCUUUAUCUGAAUAUUUCUAACACAAAUAACACAAACAGUCCCACUGGGCGUGCCAAUUUGUUUAUCCUGGUUCUUAGUAAACAAACGUUGGUUUUCGUAAACGAUUAACUUGAGAGAUCAACCAGUAUCUCGGGGCAUAUUGUGAUUAUGUUUGAUAGAAAUUGCGAACGUUCUUGAUGUAAACCAAAAAGUGUAAGAAUCGGGAUCGAACACGCGUCUAAUCCUUGAAGCAGGUUGCUAAGAAAAAAGGAUGAAUUACAACGAAUUUAAGGGAAAAGCUAAAAUUGCAUAAAUGAAUUAAAAGUGGUACACAGAUUCAUACAUUGGCAACUUGUAUACUCGUUUCUCCUAUAGUGCGGAUAAUUUGAGCGUGUAAGUCUUGUGUGUAUGUGAAUUUAGUCGUUUUCCCUAUGGAUGUAACCGCUAAAAACUACCCUAGGUAUCAUUUCAAUUUCAAAUGAAUAUCUCUUCGACAAUAACUGCUUUUGGCUCGUCUAUCUAGUACCAACUUCUCUUUGAUGUUCUACUUGUUUGUCGAAGCCUCUCCAUCGAACGGCGAAAUCUCUUUAAGUUCACGAACCUGGUUCAGCUUCUGAGUCGAAAUCGAUCAGACUUCUCCACAACUUGAGUCAAACUUGAUUGACCCUAUUUAUUAUAGCCUGUCGAAAAUACAGGCUAAUAGCAGGACUAUAGACAAAAAAGUUAAAUGUCUUUAAAUAAAGUAUAGGUGUUUUGGAAGAUCAAAUGAGAGCAAUGGAAUUUAAAAAAAGGAAGCUAGUGUUGCAAGAAUGAAGACAGAGUCUGAAGACCAUCAGAAAUUGUCUACUAGAGUCUGAAGACAAGGAGUGUUUGAAGACUAUCAGAAGCUGACAUCAUCAGAAAGUCUAAAGAACCAUCAGAAGCUAAAGUUCAUCAAAGUCUGAAGACUAGAAGCUGAAGUUAGUUAAAUGUUGUUAUUCUGAAUACAUAUGAUUGCAGAAUGAAUGGAAGCCUGGAGCUAAUGAUGAAGCAAGAAAAAUCAUGUGGCAUUGUCAUAAUUCACCAUAUGGUGGACGCUUCAACGGAGAAAGAAUGGCUGCAAAAGUUAUUCGAUUCGGGUUAUAUAUGCCUACACUUUUCAAAGAUGAAUAGGCACAUUGUCAACAUUGUGAAAAUUGUCAAAAGACCGAUGGAAUCUCAAGAAAGAAUAGAAUGUUGUUGCAAACCAUUCUUGAAGUUGAAGUAUUUGAUUGUUGGGGGAUUGACUGUGUUGGUCCAUUUCCAUCUUCGUACUCAACUGAAUACAUCUUGGUUGCGCUUGACUACGUCUCUAAAUGAAUGCAUCACAAAGCUAGGGAUGGUAGAUAUCUACCAACCUCUAGCUUGUGGGGGGUACUAGAAGAAGAGGCUCGGAAGGAAGAUAACACGUAAAUAGCAUCUAGGGUUCUUAGUUUGCUUAGCGUGCAAGUUAUCUCAUUUUACAUGUAAUUUCAUUUGCAUUUUAGUUUCAUUUGGUUAGAUAGAAGUUAGUUAUACUUAGUUGUUAUAACCAACUUCUAUAUAUACCCUCAUUGUAAAAGAAUUUGGUUAAUUCAAUCAUAAUCAAUUUCACUUCAUUUUUCUCUUUCUUAUUUGUAUGAAACUCUUAGACAUGCCUCUACGCAUGAGCCGGAUUAGUCGCUCAUCUUUGGUGGGUCGGAAAACGGUGCAAAAGCCCAAAAAAAAAAUGAAUCUCUUACGAGUUUUAUUUUUUGACUUAAUACAUCCCCCGAUCCCUUAACUUAUUUUAUUUUCUCAGUUUGAUCCCUUAAUUAUUGAGCGUCUCAAUUUGGUCCCAUAAUUCUUCUAUCGUUUACUAUUGUGGUCCUUUCCGUUAACCUCUUAUCCACUUGUCAUUUAAGAUUGGUGAUCAAUGGCUGAAUUUAGAAAGCGCACAAAUAUACAAUGAACUCACAACAUAGGAUCAUAUUCAUUUCUAUUGAAUUUCUUACUAAUAAAAAUUAAAAAAGAAAUAAAAAAAAUUAUCUUCUCAUCCCGUGUUCCCUUUGUCCUCUUCUUUCUUCCUCCAAUCUUGUUCAUCCCCUUCCCUCUUUGUUCAUCUUCUCUUCUUCCAAUCUUUCAUAAAAAACUCAUUUUCGAAUUCCAAUCCUUCAUCAUCAGCAUUAAUCCUUUCAUAUUCCAAUCUAAACCCAUUUUUGGAUCUAAUCUAAACACUUCCAAAUCCCAAUCUAAACCCAUUUUCUUGUUGUUGUGUUGUUGUUGGGGAGCGGAUUUGGACCGGAUUAAAAGGGAAAAAUCGGAAUCAGAUUUGGGGAGCAGAUUUGUUGUGUUGAUGUUGUGCUACGUUUUUGUUCCUUUUGCUGCACUGUUGUUCCUUUAUGCAUUUUUGUUCUUGGAAAAUUAAUUCCAAUCCAAUUUUGAUUCCAAUUCCUUGUGCGAUGUUCCUUCUGUAUUGUUUCCUUUUGCGUUUUUGUUGUUGUUCUUUUCAGAUUUACCAAUUCAAUUCUAGUUUUCUUUUUAAUAUUUUUAUUUUUCACAAGCAGUUUUUUUUUUAAUAUUAAUAUUAAUAAUGGGUUUCAAUUAAUUUGAGAUUUUGGUGAAGGAUUUAAAUUAAUUUUUCUGGUUUUAUAAGAACAUAGUAUUUAAGAUGAAGAUCAUGAGAAAGAAAAGAGAAGGAGAAUGAGAAUGUUUUAUUUUUUAGGAAUGAUUCUGAUAGUAUUUUUUUUUUUUAAGAAUGUUAAGGAAAAUAAAAUGAAGAUGAUGAUUCUAGUAGUAUUUUUUAUUUUCGGGUUUUUUUCUUUCUUUUAAGAUGAUGAAUAAUGAGAGUUUUAUUUGGAGAUGAUUUUGGGAAGAAGAUGGAGGAAAAAAAUUAGGUGUUUGUGGUUCAUUAUAAGCUACAGUAUAUCUCUCCUUGAUCCAACGACAGUCUUCAUUUAAAAGAAAAAGAUCAAACGGUUAAAAAUAAAAGAUUUAAAGGUUAAUAGGCCUUUACCCCCUGUAAUAUACGUCACUUUUGGUUUUGCCCCCUGUAAAAAAAAAACUUUCGAUUCGGUCUUUGUAAAAUUUUUUUGUUUUGGAAAACCCCUUAGACCAGCUGACUGUAUAUUUUUGCUGAUGUGGCAUGCCCCGUCAUCUUUUUUGGAUGACGUGGCGGGCUGACUGUAUAAUUAUUUUUAUUUUUUUUAUAGGGUACACGUGGCAUUAAUGAUUUUUUUUUUAAAAAUUCUUAAAAUAUUUUAAAAAACGAAAAAAUAUUAUAAAAAAAUGAAAUAAAUUCUAGAAAAUAAAAAUAUUAAUAAAAAUGAUUAAAAAAACGAAAAAUAAUUAUGAAAAAAUUAAUUAAAAUCUGGUAAAUGAAAAAUAAUGAAAAAAUAUAAAAAAUUUAGUAAAAAAAAUUCUGGAAUAAUUUUAAAAAUCUGGUAAAAUGAAAAAAAUCUAGAAAAUUUAAUAAAAUAAAAUCUGAAAAAAUUAAUAUAUUUCAAGAAAUUCAUAUAUCCAUAUUAUUUUCAAUAGAGGAAAAAUUUAAAAAUUCUAGAAAAAAAAAAUCAUAUUUUUUUUUUCGAAAUUAAGAAGUUUUAAUUUAUAAAAAAAUAAAAAAUUCAGCAACUUAAAGUAUUUCAAAAUUUAUGAAUCUAAUAAGAAUAGAAUUAAAAAUGAAAGUUCAGAUUUUUCUUUCAAAAUUAAAAAGUUUGUUUUUUUAUUUUUUAUACAGAAAAUCAAAAUAUUGGAAAGUAUAUUCAUAAUUAAAAAAACAUAACAUUAGAUCGUGAAGAAUAUAAUUUCGAUAUACAUUAAUUUUUUUUUAUAGAAUUUCGAUUUUUUUAUAAUUUUAAUUUAAUUCAGAUUUUUUUAAUAAUUUUAUUGAAAAUUUUGAUAUAUAUUAAAUUUUUUUUUAUUUUUCCAGAUUUUUUUAUUAAAUUUUCUAGAUUUUACUAGAAUUUUUAAAUUUUUCCAGAUUUUUUUAAAUUUUAUUUAUUUUUCCAUAAUUAUUUUUCGUUUUUUUAAUCAUUUUUAUUUUUCCAGAAUUUAUUUUAUUUUUUCGUUUUUUUAAAUUUUUUAAGAAUUUUUUUUAAAAAAAUCAUUAAUGCCACAUAUACCCUAUAAAAAAAAAAAAAAUUAUACAGUCAGCCCGCCACGUCAUCCAAAAAAGUGACGGAACAUGCCACAUCAGCAAAAAUGCACAGUCAGCUGGUCUAGGGGGGUUUUCCAAAACAAAAAAAUUUUACAAGGAUCGAAUCUAAAGUUUUUUUUUUACAGGGGGCAAAACCAAAAGUGACCUAUAUUACAGGGGGUAAAGACCUAUUAACCCAAGAUUUAAUAAGGUCUAUGGUGGACCACCUAUAAAGUUGGUUCACCUUAGACAUUUAAGGUUAAAAAGUAACGGAGAGGACCAAAAUAGUAAACGACAAAAGAAUUAUGAGACCAAAUUAAGACACUUAAUAGUUAAGGGAUCAAACUGAGAAAAUAAAAUAAGUUAAGGGACUGGGGAUGUAUUAAGCCUUAUUUUUUCCAAAGUUUACUAACCUUGCCUCAUUUUUCUGACCUAAAAAACAGUUUUUAUGCAAGUGACUUAUUCAAAAUCAGAAUUUUUCAAAACCUGAAUUUUCACGAAAUAUUAGGAUAAGCCUUGGCCUAUAUUUCUGCUUUUAGUGACUCAUUCAAAAGCUUAAUUUUUCACAUGUAUGCAGAAUACAAGCAACACACUGGAAGAAGAAAAAAAGAUACACCCACAACAAACAAACAAUACCAUUUUCUCUUCCAAUUUUCCUUUCUAAGUUACAUCUCCCAUUAUAAGAUAGGAUGGUUUAUUUGUUGAAAAACUACAAGGUGAAGAAAAAUAUAAUAUCACAUCUUUCAAUAAAGAAGUUAAAUAAAAAUAUCACCUCGUUGAUGAUCAAAUCAAAUUAAAAACUGUUGAAGACAAACACUUUUUAACUUUAUUUGAUCAUCAACGAGGUGAUGAUAUAUUGAUUUAACUUUUAUGUUGAAAGAUGUGAUCUUAUCUUGUCUCUUGAUCUUGAUCUCUAAGGUAAAUUUGAGUUGUUCUAUUCUAUAAUCUUAGGUUUAUGUGAUGAUUUAUGUUAAGCAAAGAUAAGUUUACUUGAUUUGUCUCUUAUUUAUUCUCAUUAUUAUUCCAUUGAAGUUUAUAUUUAUAUGUUGAUUAUUAUUUGAAGAUAAUUGUAUGCCUAAUUUCUACUACAAUCUUAAUGAAUUAUUCAUUGUUUUUUUUUUUGUGUUAUUUAUGUGGCUUCUUCAUCUAACGAAAUGUGACUCAUGGAAUUUGUGGUGUAGUUUAUUGACGGAUGUGGCAAUGUUUGAUUAUUGAUCAUGAGAUUCAAGAUUCUGGCAAAAGGGCUCUUCUUAACAAAGAGGUAUUUUAAUGCUAUAAUUUGAUGUGGUAUUGGCAUCAUAAAUUUAGUAAAUUUUCAUAUUUGAUGUGGUAUUGGUAGAUUUUGUUUAUUUAAGUAAUCUAAGUAUAAAUUAGUGCAGAAACAAUAGUUAAUAAUUAGACUUGACUCUCCAAAUUAUACAUUAUUUGAAUUUCUCUUCUCUCUUUUCAGCAUCACUUGUUGGACAACGACCCAUGAAAUUCUUCGUUUUACCACAUUUUUUGUUUCAUGGAUAUGUUAUGUCACAUCAAAUUUAGAUGGCAUAACAAGUUCAUGAAACGAAAAAGAAGGUCAGGUAGAGAAUGGACGUUGUCAACAGGUGAAGCCAAAGAGAGAGGAGAGAAAAUCAAAACAAUGUGACAAAUUAUCUACCUUGCAUUAUUAGCACAUGGCAUACAACAACAAGAAAUCAAAUCUCAUUCCACUUAGUAGGGUUAGCUAUUAGCACAUGGCAUAAUGACAAAUUAAACAUCACCUCACAAUCAUUGUUCCUAUCAGCAACUUUGCUUUCUUAAUCUUCUCACAAGAAAAACAUUGCUUCAUUUCUUUAAAGGGUGGAUAAUUAGGUCUUAAGCAUAUGAUUUGAAGGAAAAAAUAUAUAUAAUAAUAAUAAUAAUAAUUGAAAAAAGAAAUUAAGAAGAAAAGAAAACAUGUGCAAUCAUAUGAAAUCCAGCUGAUAUGAGUUUGUUAAACCUUUCUGUAUGUUCUUUUUUUUCAAAUAUGACAUCAUCAAUAAGAUUAUAGUGACUGUUAAUUAUACAUGGCAAAUCAUAACUUCAACAAUUAUCUAAAGUUCAAGCUCUAGCAAAUUAAAUGUUAUAACUAUAUAAUAUUACUUCUAUGUUUCAUUCCUAAACUCAAUCCCAAAUGAAAGGGGAUUACAAAGAUAUAAAUAUUUUUUGUAAAGAUAGUAAAAAAUAUAUAUCCAUCACACACUUUUAGUUAUAUAUUAUUUACAUAUAUACUCAUGCCUCUUUAUAUCAUCAUUAAUAAUACAAACUAAACUUUACUAAGAAACACAUAAGAAGCAAUUAUGCCAAUAAAGUAGGCUUCUUUAAGUGGUAUUGCUUAAACCUCUGCCUUGAGUACUCCUUGUAGUCAAAAUCAAUUGUAUUGACAUAACUCUGCAAAAGGAACAAAAAAAAUUAAUUAUGAUUAUCAAGUCAUGAUUUAAAUCGUGAGUCGAAUCUUAUUAUGAAUCGUAAAAUACAUUACUGAUAAAAAUAUGACAACCUAAGAAAAAUAUUUAGUGACGGUAACAUUAUAAGUUGAUAUGUCGUAUACGAGUCUCAAAGUAAUUCAAGGCUCAGGUCAUAAAUCAAUCAACAAAAGAAAAGUGACCGCGAUACAAAGUUGACACAAAAAAAGUGGUUAGCUACGCUAAAUUUGUGUAGUAUUAGAAUGAAUCGGGAUUCAAAUAGGGUUCAUAUCGAUUAGAUUCAAAUAGGGCUCACAUGUAUCGUAAGUCGUAACAUACUGAACACAGUGCAUUUAGCUUGAUAUAAGUAAGAUGUAGAGUAAUAUAAAAGUGAAAAGAAAAAAGCUUACUGAAAUAAGUCCCCACAAGCCCCAAAAUAGAUGGUUUGCAAGAGUGUACUUUUCCACAAGAUUCGCUAACUGAUCCACUUGAGCACCACUUGGCUUUUCUCCUGUGUACAAGUUUACAAAUAAACAUUUUGAAGGCUUGAAUGUGAUCUAAUUUUAGUUAAAUUAAAGAGUGCAUAAGCAACUUCGAAAAAUAUGCACAUAUUUUUUGAAGUGGCCAUUUUCAACAGUUUUCAAGGAUAUUUGAACUCCAUUUCUUGAAGUUACAAGGUCAAACUCUUAUCGUUGAGUUAUAAAUUAGCAUAUAAUCGAACAGACGAAUGCUAGCUAGCUUCACAUCGGAUAAGGAAGGAUAAUCGAUAAUCUAAACGGUGUUACAAUUCUUAUUGAUUAGGCCAACCGAAAUUGAAGAGAAAUAUGGUUUUCCAUAUUAACUUUUAGUUUCAUUUAUGCGCUAGAAAUUUAAGGUAACAGGGUUCUUACAUCAUUUACUCACAUAUAUGCAUGCUAGUGAAACAACUACUAGAAAAAUGGCGUGAAUUCAGUACCACAUAAAAUCAAACAAACUAUAGAAAAUGUUCAUUCAUUUGAGAAUAUAUGAAUAUCAAUUAUAAAAUUUCCAAUACCGGAUCUUUAACAAUCAAAUGCAUUAUCAGAGUGAAUUUGUUAGUGAAAUGGACUAACCUUCAGAACUCAAGUAUGUGUAAAUAAACCUUCGACGCUCCUCAAGAUCUGGUAUACCAUAAACAAAUUCAUGAUUCAGCAAUACAGAAUGAUCUCAAAAAAAUUAUUGAAAAUAGAAAGCCGUAAAAUGUAUGAGCAAUUCAUUUACCAGGAUAUUUACUGUAGUCAAGAACAUGAGGCGUGUCAGUGUGGUAAUUUGCGGCCAUUUCACAGAAAUGAUUUGCAAGGUCAUACGCAACAGGAUUGUAACUCGAGUACUCGUAGUCCUAUAUCAUUGAUAAGUAGAAAAAACAUGAAUGAAACGUAAGUUUAUAAAAAUGAUAUGACAGAUGAAAAAUGAAAAGGGCGUAGAAAGUGAUGGUACAUUAGUGAUGGUAUAAACUAUAAUGGCACCUACAAGAUUAAUUUUGACUAUGGAUUAUAAAAGUUAAACGGUAUAAACAUAUUAUAUAAGCACAAUUUAGAGUGAUUAAUCUUGAUAACUUACAAUUAAAGUGAUUGAUCUUGUUUCUUCAUCCAUCAUGAUGUUACCAUAUUGUAGAUCAUUGUGACAAAAACCAAUCUCUUGAUAUUCUUCUGAUAACAACGCCCGCAACAUACUUAACUCAGCAUCUAGAUUGUCCAAUCCAAAAUUUAUGAUAUCCUUUUGGGAGCACAAACUUUUAGCAUGAUUAAGCCAUUUCCUAGUAAAAUAUGGAAAGCAUAUUUAAUUCUUUAUACUAUAUAACAUUUUUUUAAUAUUGUUCUGAUUGAUAUUACUAGUACCUCAUUCUCUGCCAAAUCUGAGCCUUCUUUGCACCAGGCAUAUGAAGAUUGUGAAAUUCUUUCAUCUUCGAUGCUAUCAAAGAAGAUAUUUCAGGGUCGCGGAGGUCGGAAGCUGAAAGUGUCUGAAAUUCCAAAAACAAGAAGAAGAAAAAAAUGUUAUGUACAUAAUUGGAGGACCGAUACUUCUGAUUGAAAAUGUGUCAGGAGUCUUACAACGACUCGCGUGAUUGCAUUCAGUUAUUCUACUUGCUCAAAUUUUCCACAACUUUGAAUUUAUUUUUUCCCACAAGAAAGGAACAUGAACUUGGAUUUCUAUCAUGUUACUUACAACUGUCAUGAUUUGAAAUAAAGGGAAAAAAACAAUUAUUGUUGUAGGGCCAAUUUUUUGUCUCUUUCUAACAAUAUGACAUUGCCAUGUUACUAUGCAACACAAAAGAAUCUGGGUGAUAUGAAGUCACAGCUUCUAUGAUCUAUUGCCAUGUUAUGAUGAUUGAAAAUGAUUUUGUUUACUAUAUAUAUAUAUAUAUAUAUAUAUAUAUAUAUAUAUAUAUAUAUAUAUAUAUAUAUAUAACUAAUCAUUAUUAAACAUAUGAAAAAUGUCUGUUUUGAGUUUCUGUCCAUCUCUAUGAGGUCUUCCACAACUCAUAGUGUUUGGUAUUAUUUGGAUUUUUUUGUGGUGGCCGAGGAAUUCCGGACCUUGCAUAUAUUAUGCAUUUGUCCCUGCCAACUGAACUAACAUCACAAGGACGGUAUUGUUUGGAUUUAAUAAAGGCAUACCUAUCAUUUGUUUUAUACAAUAUACAUGUAAAUCCUUUUAUGCUUGUAUAUAAAAAACAAAGGCAAAUAAUUAAUUGCAAGAGUGAUAUAUUAAAAUAUUUGUAUUUAAACCAUCUAUGAAAUAAACUAGAGAAUGGAAUAAGUAUUUCCAGAAGCCUUUCAAAGCUAAGCAUUUUUCUAUUAUUUCUUUUUCCUGAAAGACCAUUCAUGUUAGAGAGGCUAAACUUCAAUUCCUCCAAAGUUAGAGAGAGAGAGAGAUAGAAAGAGAGAGAGUCAGGGCCGUAUCUGAAGCAGGACGAAGAGGGCGACCGCCCAAAGCCCAAAAAAAUAAGUACGAAAUUUGGGCCCCAAUUUUUUUUAGGGGUCUAUUAGGCCCUAAAAAAAGUUGAUUAGUUUUUUGUAUCAAGUUUGAUGUUUAUAUAUAUAUAUAUAUAUUAGUUAGGACCCAAAUUGUAGGUUCGCCCUAGCCACCAAAAUCUAAAGACCCUAGAGAGAGAGAAUAUAUAAUAUAAAAAUAGAAAAACCAAAGAAAAGCUUUUGGACUAAAAUACAAUAAAGCAGAUUGGAAAAGAAAAAGAGAAGAACCAAAAAGAAAACCUUUUAGGACUAAAAUACAAUAAAGCAAAAGGGAAAAGAAAGAUCUUAGAGACUUCAAAAUUAGCAUUAAUUCUCCCAUCCACAGAAACCACUAUAAUGUAAUUAUCAUUGCAACUUUCAUAACAUUUACUUAUCAAACAUUCAAAAUAUUUUCUAUUAUUUUAUUUCAAGUUGUUAAAGAUUUAUACAUGAAAAAAAUGAACUACCAUUUAUUAUUAGAACUAAUUGAUCUGAAUAGAGACUCAAUAUUUUUGUAUUUUAAUCCACAAACCAAUGAAUAGAAAAAACACAAGAUUUUUAUUUUAUCAACAUAGAUCGCCUUCUAUCGGAGGUAAUCUCAUUCAAGUCAGUCGUUUAACUCUAGGUAUGAAUUUUUCUUGUACCAGAAUUGAAAAGAUUUUCACGAUUACGAGAGACUAGUCAUUUUUGCUAGACUCAACUUAACUACCUUUGACUUAUUAAAGAAAACACAAGAUGAUACUAAUCACAUACCCGGGCAUGAAUGAACUCUUCAACUCGACCAGUCGUGAACCGACCAAGAAGGCGUGGACCCUGUCCGUUCUUCGACAUACACUCAAAUGUUUGGAUUUCAUCAUCCCUAUUGAAGAAAACCUCAACACCUUCACCAUAUAAUCGAACCAAAACCCUUCUAAGAUGACCAUCGCUUUUCGUCGGCCAAUUCACCUCAAAAACCUGAUUUGUCAUUGCACCCUUUAAGGGAUUCACCUCCACAGUACUCACAUCAUCAAUCACAUCACCUAAAUCUACAGCCACAGCUGCAAGAACUUUCAUUAUCUCUUCAUGAGUUUCACACCCUUUCAACAAUUCAAAUGUCUUUAAAGCCAUCACUUUCUGCAUGUGGAUAAAAACAUGUCAAAUUAAUGUUAAGGUAUGAUGAUUUUCCAUGAACAUAAAAUCAGAAAAUCUUGAUGACCCUGUUGAGAAAAAAAACAUCAUAAUUGAUUAUCAUUUAUCAAGUUUAAUUUUUUUUUUUCAUCAAAAAAUGUAUAAAACUUAUAACAUAAAGUUUAACAAUAACCCUUUUGAAUAAAAACAUGAAAAAUGAAAAAAAAUUGCAAUCUUUUUUAGAUUAAGUGAAUGAUAAAAUGGUUUGAAUUUGUAACAAUGGAUUCAAAACAGAGUAAAAAAACAAAGUAGUAAAAUAGAGUAGUUAAUUCAGAUAUUGAAAACACAGAAAAUUGUUGCAAUUAUAAUCAAAAGUGAAACAUGCAAACAAAGAAAUAAGCAUAUAGUUUCAAGAAAAAAUAUUAGAAAUUGAAAACAUUAAUUGAAAUUAUAAGAAAUGAUAGAUGAGAAAGACUAACCUUUGAAGCAGAACAAAAAUAUGAAGUUGAGUCAAGCAAACAGAAACCACUACAAUGAAGAAUACAUGAAAAAAGUUAUAUAUAUUAUCGUCAAGACCAAGCAUCACAUUGACAUCAUAAAAUAAUAAAUGAAACACAUGAAGAAUGAUUAAAAAAAUAAAUAGAAAAAAAAAAAAAAGUUUGAGAAUAGACCAAAGAAGUAGUAGAGGAGAGAGAGAGCAAGAAGUGUUGAUUGUUUGGCUGAGAGAGAGAGAGACAGAUAGAUACCGACACAAAUGAUCUUUGUAUUAGUAUUGUGAAUGAACAAGUCAAACAAAAGUAUUGAAAAAAAAAAAACAAAGAAAGCUUGCAAAGAAGCAAUCUUUUGUCAACACAAAUAAUAAUAACCUAUGAACCAAUUUCGGUUCUCUCUGCUGUCAAUUUCGGUGGAUAAAUUCAGACAGAGUUAUAUCGUUAAAUGGAAAUAUGAUUACAGAGUUAUGUCUUUAAAUGGAAAUAGGAUUUCAUGCUAUUACAAUAGGGUACAGUAACCAAAAUCAGUCGUCCAAUCGAAAUUAUAUGACCCGGAUCGUUUUAAUUAAAAGACAUAGUUUUCAAUCUUUACCGUUCGAUCUCAGAUGAACGACCAAAAUCAAAAACUGUGUGAAAUUAUGGCUUUUGCUGCAGCGGCAAAACCAAAUCCCUUUAAAUAGGGCUCUCCCAAGUGAGCAGAGAAAUUGAUCUUUUUAAAUAAGUCGAUUUUUGAAUUAAAUAUCAAGUUCAAAAAUAAAAAGAAAAAAUAACCUAGGAACCAAGUACAAUUUUAUUGAUAUUUUUUUGAUAAAUCAUUGAAUUGUGUGCAUUAAAUAUUAUCUAUAUACUAUAUUAUUAUAUGGAAAAUACAGCAUGUCAAUGAAUUUUUCAAUGCUUUCUAUAAAAUGUGAUUGGACUUUUUUAUGUAUGUUUUGGACUUUGUGUAUUUUGGACGGUUGGAGAUUCUUGUGUGGGGGCCAUUUUUGUGGAAGAUGCAUGGUAACUGAUCAUGUAGAGAUUCUGUUUGCUGGUUGAAUAUUACUUUCAUAUAUUUAAGACACUCAUGUUUCUUCAUCAAUAGAUACAUAUUUGGAUAAAAACUUUCUAGGAGUUAGAUUCACCAAAGGGUGCCAUUUAAUUUGAUAAAGAAAAUUUCUUUCUCAUGAGAAAGUAAAUCUCAACCAUUAAAUUCAAGAGGAACAUUGAUUUUAUCAUAAUCUUUCUGCAUUAUAUUUUUUUCCCUUUAUCUUCAACCUUACAAUCAUCAACCAACACAAAUAAGUUUGUUUUCCUUCCAUGUUUUAAUCACGAAAUAUGUUUUUUCCUUGCUAAUUCUUUAGAAUUAGAUACUAGUUUUAAUCACGAAAUAUGUUUUUUUCUUCCUAAUUCUUUAGAAUUACUAAGUUUUUUUUGGCUAAAUUGCAUUUUUGAUCCCUUAAUUAUUUAGCUAGUAUCGCUUUGGUCCUUUAAUUAAAAUUCGAUUUAUUUUGGUCCUUUAACUUCUCUUUGUUAUACAUUUUGGUCUUUUCCGUUAGUUUUAAUUCAAAAACGUUAGGUUUUCUUCAUCUUCUUAUCCUCUUUUUCAUCUUCAUAUCAUCUCCAUCAAUCUUCAAUAACAAGAAUUCGAGAAAAAUUCCAGAAGAAAAUGAAGAAAAUCUAACGUUUUUGAAUUAAAAUUAACGGAAAAGACCAAAAUGUGUAACGGAAAGAAUUUAAGGGACCAAAAUAAAUCAAAUUUUAACUAAGGGACCAAAGUGAUACUACCUAAAUAGUUAAGGGAUAAAAAUGCAAUUUAGCCUUUUUUUUUGAAGGAGAAUUAAAUACUAGGUUAAAUACAUAUCACUAACACAUUUAUGUUUAUUGCUUAGUGCCUCCUCUACUCUUCAAUAAUAUUCAUGGUCUCCAGUUUCAACCUACCAGAUGUUUUUUACUACCUGCAGAUUUAACAGGGUGAUGACAUAAUGAAAGAAGAGAAAUAAUAUAAUGUAGAAGAUAAAGGGGAAAAAAUAUAAUGUAGAAAGACUAUGAUAAAAUCAAUGUUCCUCUUGAAUCUAAUGGUUGAGAUUUACUUUCCCAUGAUGGGAAAGAAGUUUGCUUUCCCAAAUUAAAUGGCACCUCACUUAAAGUUAUGGUAACUUUACUACCACAAAAAAACUUUACCUACACAUAGUUAUUUAAUGAGUAAUUACCCAACUUCCUUGAAUUUUUUAAAAUCAGCCAAAUUUAUCCUCAAAUUUUGCAAAAUGUCUAAUUCAUUCCCGAAUUUACAAAAUAUCAAUCAAAUCAGUCCCUCCAUUAAGUUGGCCUGUUAACAGAGGUGACAUGUACUAUUAACCUCUUACAAGCUUACCAUGUCAGAUGUCACGCAAGCAGAGACAAAUUUGGCUGAAAAUGAUGAAAUUAUCAAGGACCAAAUUGAUUGAUUUACAGAAAAUUGAAAAUUCCCCAACAUCUCUUUUUCCCCAACGUCUUUCUUCUCAACGUCUUUCUUUCCGAAAUAUAUAAAUUUGGAACCCUAAUUUUAUAAUUUGUCACAUAGAGUUCAAAAUCCCCAAAAUUUCUUCCAUUAAUUGAUGACAAAGUUCAUCCCCAUUUCUAAAAACUUAAAAACCUAAUUUUUUUUUUUUGAUUUAAUUCGAAAUCCAAAAAUCCCCAAAAAUUGUUCAAGCUUUGGCGUUCAGAAAUGAUGGGUGGUGGGCGUUUGGGCAAAAACAACCAUAACAGUUGGUCUUAAAUCAAUCAAAUCAGGCCUUAAAUUAUAACACUAUCCAUCAAAUCAGUCCUUAAAUUAUCACAAUAAGUAUCAAAUCGAUCCAUAUAUAUAGGGGUAUAAUUGAAAACACAUAAAAAAUGACAACUGAAAAGUAGAAACCGCAAGUUUUACCAUUUCCAUCAAAUUGGUCCUUGUACACGUGGCUUCCUUGUUGACACGUGUACAGGACAACACAUCAUGCAACAGGAUACAUCAUCAUCAGUAACGGAGCUUUUGAACGGAGGGACCAUUUUGAUGGACGUCUGUGAAAUUCAGGGAUGAAUUAGACAUUUCGCAAAAUUUGAGGACGAAUUUGGCUGAUUUUUAAAAAUUCAAGGACGAAGUUGGAUAAUUACUUGUUAUUCAAUCUUAGUAUGAGUUAGAAAAGUCUUGAAGCUCAGCAUUGUAGGCAUGGCUGCAUGACCAAUCGGGGGCGGUUUUUGUCAUCCCUAUUUUCCUCAUCGAUUUAUUGUAAAGUAUCUAUAUUCGUCUCUGAAGCUCGUCUAAUUUGAAAAUAGAGUAUUAAUCCUGGCAAAGACGCAUAUAUUUUUUCACCCUGUCUCAUUGAGUAAGAAUAAAUAGAUGGAUUUUCUCUCGUGAUGGCAAGAUGGAUGGAUUUGGAUUGUAAUGGCUGGAUCAAAAAAUCCAUUAAUCCAUUAAUAACCCACUAAAAAUCCAUUUUUAAAAUUCCAAAUUUUUUUAGGGAAUUUUUUAUUUUUAUUAUAUUUCAUUUAUUGGAUUUAUAUUAACGUUUGAAUUGAUCCUUUGGAUUUUGAAAAUAAGUUGAAUGGAUUAGAUUAAUUUUAUGGUCCAAAUCAAGUGCAUAAAAGAAGUUCUAAACUGAUGAAAAUGAUCUAAUGUGUUAGAUGGAUCCGCUGAAUGAAGACAAAGCCAAAUCCUAAGAAGCUGCCAAAUCUGACCAAAGAGGUUGCAGGUCAAAAAUAAAUGGUUCUCUAAUUCUUAAAAACAGCCACUAGUGAUAUAAAGUUGAGAGUCAAGAUGAAUAAUCCCUCUUCGAAAUAAAUAUUGUGUUAAUUAGUGGCGGAGACCUUUUAGGGCCAAGAUGGGCCACAACCCACCCCACAAAAAAAUAAAAUUAUUUUUAUAUGUUAAAUUAUUAAAAUAUUUUUGAUUUUUAACUAAAAUUACCUCGUGGUCCACCCUCUUCUCCAUCUCAGUAUGAUUUUUAUCACAAUUUCAAGUCAAUCGAAAUGUAUAGAUAAUUAUCUUGUAUUUUUAAGGUAUACAAUUUAUUUUUUUAUGGACAAUCUUUUGUUUAAUGUUUAUUAUAACAUAAAUUUUGUGUAUAUAUUAUGGUUUAUUUCUGUGGCCCACCCAAACAAUUUUUUCUAGCUCUGCCACCACUGGUGUUAAUAUUAUCAAUAUUAUGUUUCUAUACUUAAUUUAAUUGACAACACCGAUAUUGUUAAGUUUGAUAUCUUCACUUAAAUCCAAACCUAAAAUCCAGUAGUUGUGUGUGAGAAUUCACCUUUUUCAAGAUAAAUAAGUGAGAUGUCUAGGGUUCGAACAUCAACCCCUGCAUAUAACAAUGCAUGUAUCUGACAGCUGAGUUAUGCUCACGGAAACAAAAUUUUGUUUAUUUAAUUAAAUCCACAAUGUAAUUUUUAGUGCACAUGUAUCAAUCAAUAUAGGUUAGGUUCUAAAAUAUCUUCAAAAUCAUCUAUGCGGCAAAUUUGAUUGAUGCGUGUGGCAGAUUAGGCACGAAAUCAUCUAUGGGGCAGCUUUGAUUGAAUGCAUGCGAAAAAAUUAGAGAUUAAUAAUAAAUAGAUAUAAAAGAUUAAAAAAAAAAAUUAAAAAUUGGUCAAGAAAAUAUCAAAAUGUGUUAACCCUUAAAAAAUUAAGCAACCUACUAUAGCCAUCACAUUUCAUGAUUCACCUUAAAGACAUUUUCAAUACGUGUCUAUAUUAGGCAUCCUUUAUUAUCACCCACUCUUGUUCCUAAGAAUGUUAAAUAUCCAACCUAAUCCCACUACACUAGACCUUACACAAAGUCAAUGAAUACCAAAACCACAUGUUUAAUCCUAAACCAUAAAAUUAACCAAAUGCUAACAAAUCCUUAAAAAGACCAACUACACUUUCUAGUUAACUACAAAUCAUCAAACUAUAAAUAGUCAUAAACCCAUUUCAUGUUUUGUAUCAUAUCCCAUUUUUAGGUAUCAAUCACUAUCCCUAAUGGCUAGACCACUUUUAGUGAUCAACCCUUCACUAAGCACUUCAAAUAUUGGUUUUGCUGGUAUGAGCCUUAUGAUGUGUGUUGUUGCGUUGCUCAUGUGUGCUUCUCAUUCACGCAAAUGGCGUCAUUGGCUCGCUUGCAAUGCGUUUGCGGAGGAGCCUGUUAUAGAGCUGAACAAUGACGUUGUGACGAUGAAUGGUUGUGAACAACAACGGGAAGAGGAUUCGAUUUGGCAGAAGAAUAUACUUAUGGGUGGGAAGUGUCAACUCCCUGAUUUCUCUGGUGUCAUAAUCUAUGAUUCUGAUGGCAAUGUUGUAAACCCUGCUAGAACUUCUCUUCCAUUACUAACAUGGAAAUAAGGAUGCGAGGAACCACAACAAGUUUCUUCACUUGAAGAACUAGAUCAAAAUUAGAGUUCCACGAGCGGUGAAAUACAAGGCCUAUGUGUGAUAACAGUUUGACUUUAUUUUAUCUUCUGAUAGUAGUAGCUUUCAUAUAAACACUUAUAUGAUAAGUGUUUAUGUUAUAAGCACUUAAUUAAGUUGUUUAUCCAAACAUGUUCAUAAUAUAAUUUAAUGUCCUUUCAUUGUGGAAAUUAAAGCAUCAUGAAUCUUUAGUUUGAAAGUAUCUUUUUCAUAGGACAGCUCGGUGUACUAAAGCUCUUGCAUACACAGGUCUGGAAAGGAGUCUCAGCAAUCGGUGUAUUGUACGCAGCCUUACCCUGUUUUUUAUUUUUCAUAAAUAAAAAAAUAAAAUAAAAAAUUAACUUGGAUUAUUCAUAUCUGAAGAAGGAAAAAAAAUCAUGAAUUAUCACACUAUUCUUGCUAUAUAGAUAAAAUUGAAUCUGUCUGUCAAAAAGAACCAAUCUAAUACAAAACAAAGAGCCCUUUACUUACUACUGUGGUAUAACAUGAUUCCAAUCUACUUCACUAAAAUGUUUGUCUCUUAUCUGAGGAUGAUGCAUUCUUCCCCCUAAAUCCGACAACACUAAGUUUAGAACCUGUAGAUUUGGAGGCAGUGGUUCUUUUACCCGUUCGCUUAUCAUCUGAAGAAGCUUUCUUGAAGCUACUUGUACUGGAAGAUUUUACAGAUUUUGAAACGGUAAAUCCUUUUUUCGUAAACUUUGAUGGCGUUGAUUGUUUACCCGAUUUCGUACCUGACCUUGCAUUCUCUGUUCUGCUGCGAGAAUCAGAUUUGUCCCUAGUACCUGACCUGGUAUUCUCAGAUCUUCCGCGAGAAUCGGAUUUGUCCCUAGAACCUGACCUGGUAUUCUCAGAUCUGCCGCGAGUAUUGGAUUUGUCCCUAGAACCUGACCUGGUAUUCUCAGAUCUGCCGCGAGAAUCGGAUUUGUCCUUAGUACCUAAUCUGGUAUUCUUAGAACUGGUGCGAGAAUCAGAGAUGUCUCUAACUUUUGAAGGUUUAACCACAUUUUUGUUCUUUCUUCUCUGCUCAGUGAUUUGGUUUCUGGUUACAUCCAUUCGGACACUUUCUUUUGUGAUAGCCUCCAAAUUCUCAUUCUUUUUUAUUGCCUCCUCUAUUUUGGUUGCCAAGCUAUAGUCCUUUUUAGUAACCAGACUUGUUAUUUUCCCUGAAACAGAAAACGUGUGUUUUUAUUCUUCCCAAUACAUCAACAGCAAAGUUGUACAGCCACAAUUGAAAUGACGGAAAUACAAUUGUAAGCUAAAAUAUGACAAAAGACACGAAGCAGCAUGGAUUUUUUUGCUUGUUAAAGAAAACUUGCACAAUCCAUGCAGGUACAAUGUUGUACAUAACCCGUGUUAUCUUCUAAUUUAAAAACAAAAUUGUGGUCACUAUAAUGUGAGUAAAAGUCUGGUUGCAAAGUAAAUAUGCAAGAGCAUUGUUUACUGGCUUGUUGAUACCAUUUAUUACAAAUUAAAAUAAAAAAUAGAAGAGAAAUUUUUUCUAUAUUUGGUUAAAGAUAUGAAUACAUAAGAAUUUGUUACCUUUUGCACCCAUACGGGCAGUUCUACCUGUGCGAUGGAGGUAGUCAAUCUAAAAUUGAAUGGGAAAGUAAAGUAAGUAACCUAUUAAUAUUGAAAAAAGAAGGUAGUAUGAAGGGAGGGGGAGCUCACUGAAUUCAAAGGGAAGUCAAACAUGAUAACAUGAUCAACAUCCAAGUCCAGACCCCUAGCAGCCAAAUCUGUGCAAACCAAGGUGGGGCAAUCAUCGUUGUUACUCUUGAAUUUGUUGAGGUUUUCAACCCUGCGGUUAAAUGAAAAAGUAAUACAGGUAAGUGGGAAUAACAGGAAGUGAAGCAUCUGAUCUGAUGAGAGAAUGUCAAUCAAAGCACUAGCACUCAAAUGGCACCAUGUGCUUAAACGUUGUCAAAGCAAACUCAUAUGUAUUCUGCCCAUCCAGUGUUAUCAAAUAGCAGAUGUUGCGUAGCGGAAAUUGAACAAAUCACGAUUGUUCUAUGAUACGUUAGUUUGUACAAAGUGUUGUCAAAUAGAGGCUAUAGUGGUGCUAAUGCUAUAGAACUUCAGCAUAGCAGAAUUUGAACAAAACACUAUUUUCCACAAUCCACGAUAGACGACAAUGUGCCAAUCUUCCUCCAUUUUCUAUGUUCAUUAAUUCUAUAAGACAUGAGCUAUUAUUAAUUAUUAAUUAUAUACAUAUGCAUGUGAACAAAACAUUUUCACAACACUUUUUAAGAACAAGUGUUCACUCAUGUGAAUUAGCAUCAGAGGCAAUGUCAGGACAUGCAUGAAUCAAGGAUUAAACAACACCAUAAUGCUCUGUUAUGAAUUGAGUUCAAAGAUCGGGCACUUAACUCUGAAUUUUAUCAUAAUAGUUUGAUCUAUAGUAUUCCUUGGUCUAUCUACGUCUAACUACUAGAAUAAACUCCGAUAAUGUUUCCACAGGUAUUCCCCACACAUGUCUAAACCACCUAAGAUGAGACUUCAUAAAAAAUUCUACAAUGUGGGCGAGUUGUAUUCCAGAUGACAAACUCAUUCUGAGCCAGUGACAGACAAUUUGAUCCGCUAACAAUAGCCGCUAUUUGACAACACUUUUUACUAAAUCGUGUAUCGCGAAACAAUAGUGGUUUGUUAAAUUUUCUUUAUCCAAUAGCUGAUAUUUUACAACACUGGAUUAAGUUUGUGGCUGCUUGUGAUGCUCCCAAAGCAGGGAGCAUUGUUGUUUUUUCCAUAAGUGUCAAAGUGAGCCAAAACAGCUAACAUGGGUUGGCACCACAAGUUGAACCCACUUAAGCAGUGUCCUUUUGAUCCAUGAAAAUGUAAGCAUGUGUUUUACAAAUCCAGCGGUGAGCCGGAUAGGCUCGCACCGUAGGACUCAUUGAUACCUGAAUUUCUUCAUAGCCAUAGAUUUAGUGGCAUAAGAAAAUCAGUGAGUUGUAACACAAUUAUUGAGUAUCGAUAGUAAAAACAUAUCAUUCACUUUUCACUCGAAAUUAUUCCUUUUCCAUCCAAUCCCUAAAAUUUCAACAAUUGACAGUGCUAUUUCCUGGAGGCUUAACAACUCAUCUAAGCACACAGACUAUAACUACAACUACAUCACAAGUUCAGUACAGUAUUUGAUGUGAGAAGUAUCCAAACAAACUUAAAAUAUUACCUUUGCGCUGCCGGUACCUCCCCAUGGUAAUUAACGGUAGAUAUCUGAUUUUCUUCAAGAAAGUGAUCCACAGCACGACUAGAAUUCAAUGUGUUGCAGAAAACCAUUACCCUGUUACCCUUUGCAAGACUUGGCUCUAAUACCUGCAAUCACAUGAUCACAUAUUACAUAAUAUAAACCAAGGUGAAUCAAAACAACAUACAAUCCAACUAGUAAUCUGAUAGUGAAUAGCAUAUAUGGAAAAAAAACACCCUAGUUUUCAUUAUAUAACAGACAACUGACAAAAAUGUUGAGUAUUUGAAUUUGAGUAUGCGCAGAAUAAUAGAAAAAGUGCAAUAAAGUGCAUGUUACUGGCAUGGAAUAAAAGGGAUGUUUUGCAUUUUGCUUAUCAAAUAACCUGGCGUCAUAGUUUGGAGACCCUUUCCAAAGGAAAAUCUUGGUGGGAAGUGGGAACUAAAAAUGUAAUAAUGCACCAGUUGAAAACAUAAAAGCAUCUCCAAGUCAAUGUUCUAAAAUUUUAAGAACGGCUAAAAUAAACUUUUGAUUUUUCUAGCAUUGAUGUCGAGUGGCAUGGCAAUAAUAUGUAAGUAGAGUUUCCAUGAGUACAUGUUCUUACACUGAAAAGUGGUGAGUUGUGGGACCCCUUGAAGUAAAUUCAGAACACAACUACGAUUUUUGCAUUGGAGUAAUAAAAAUAGGUGAAUGUUCUUAAAUAACACAUGGAAACUUGGGGCCCACUAAAAGUAACUCAAGAACAUAAAGCAUUGUUCGUAAUUCAUUUCCUUGCAUUGGUUUUGGUGAUGCUCUAAAGUAUCGAAGAAUUGGCCAUACAAACCACUCACCAUGAGUUCCACAAAAAAACAAUUCAAUUCGCUAUAUACCAAAAUUCAUCGGUGAAAUAGUGCAUCAGCAAGCUGUUAGACUUAUUAUGGCAGUUAUGGGCAGUUAUUAUGUCAUUCAUCGGUGAAAUUGAGUAUGAAAUAGUUUUUGAAUGGUUUUGGGACGGAGAGACCAAGCUCUCGAAUUCAUGGAGGGAAAGACCAAGACUCUCGAAUUUCUUGGAUAAUAUUUAUGUAUACUAUCUCUUUUCGUAGUUUAUGUGUGAAUUCUACAUUAACUAUAACGUGUGGUGUAAUUGUGUUUGUUGUAAAUGCUUCUGCCAUCAAUAAAAGUCAGUGUCUACAAUUAAAUGUAUUUUGGUGAUGGUUUCUAUCAUAAACCUUACAGAUUUAGGGUUUCAUUACAUCGCAUCUCAACUCAACCACUCAAAAAACAAUCAUUAGUUAAUAUGUAUAAUGCAGAUCAUAAAAUUACAUAUACCUGAAGUAAUGAAUCCAGCUUGUUCUCAGUACCAGAAAGUUUUAUAAAAUCAUGACGAGCAUUAGAAAUCUUUUUAUGUAACGAGGAUGUGCGCAGAUGUACAAUGCCUUGAAACUCCUCAUCAACCAGAUUUUGCACAGCCUGAGAGAUUAAAAGAAGUCAACCCUUUGCAACUUCGGUAUCAAAUAUUAACCUAAAUUUUUUUCACUAGACUUAUGUAUAAUAGAGAUUGUGUUAUUGUUCAGAAGAGCAAAGAGCACUGCACUAUGCAUUUAAUUACCAGGUUACACUAGAGCCAUAGACGGUUUAAUUUGGUAAAAUGUUCUACUCAAGACGCUUCUCACAUCAGGUAUUUUUUAGAAUAUUAUCGGUGUAGAAAACAGAGGUGCUUACGAUAAUUAAAACUAGUUCAAAUGAAGAAAUGACAGUUUAUGAAAUCUGACUAUUCCACUACAUAUCUGAAUUAACAGAGCUAAAAUAUUUAAAACAUAAAGCUUAUGUUUUGCAAAUCAAAAUAUAAGCAAAAUAUUUAAAAUAUUUGAAAAUAAGCAUGUGAAGGGCAAUAAUACUAGAACCGAUUGUUUUUUUUCUGAAAAGUAGACCCGUUUGUUUUAUACAUAACAAGGGAUAAAAGGAUUGAGAAAGUCCAUAUCGAAUCAAAAUAAACUACUAUGAUCAUUUUACGAAUAAUCUUCUAAGUUAGUAAUAUUUACUUUGCAUGUAUGUGACCAACAAAAUUUUAGAACAAAUCAGCAUACCUUUGUCAUGGUAGCAGUUACCAAAACAGUCUGGAAACCUAGGCUGUCAGGUUUUGAAGCGCGAUGUUUUAAUGGGGCCAGGAAUUUUUUGAUAUCAGGACCAAAGCCCCGAUCAAACAUUGUGUCUGCCUCAUCUAAUACCUGCAAAACAAAGACUAUUGUCAGCAAGUGUAGUUAGUAGCUCAUUGUCAACAUUCAAAUUAUCAAUUUAAGAACACUUACCACAUAUUGGAUGUCACCGUAUACCAUAUUUCCUUCCUCGAUAUGUUGAAGAAUCCUGCCAGGGGUACCAACUACCAUAUCAAUGGGGUUACUAAGUGACUCUUCUUGAGGCCUAAGACGGCCACCACCACUUACCAUGGUACACCUGAAUCGUGCAUGAUGACUUAUCGCUUUUGCAACUCGAAAAACCUAUAAACCCCGUUUUACAUCAAUUUGUGCAAUUUAACACAACUGAAGCAAUCUCUAAAACAUGCACACAUAUAUACCUGCUCAGACAACUCCCUCGUAGGGCAUAGCACAACAGCUCGGGGACGCUUGGGCUUCAACACUAGUCCAUUCAUUUGCUCAUCCCGUCUUAGCAACUACAGAAACAAAGCAGUGUCUCAAUAGUCCCCAAUACAUGCCUAUACAUUUACUGGAAAAAAAUAAAAAAUAAAACAAGUUCGAUCAAUCUGUAAAACAUCCCACACAUCAAGUAAUUGACAACAUUUGUCAAACAAGUUACAAUAGAACAAAACCAUAUGCAUUCAAUUUCAUGUUUGUUUUGUUUUAAAAAUUGAUCCGUGCAUGACAUAAAAGCUAAAAAAAGUGGUACAUUUCAAUUCUACAAAAAGAGUGGAACCAAAGAGAUUAUAACAAACCAAACAACUUGUUCCAUACUCUGCAGUCCAUAUGCCAAAAGCUACCUCAAUUUGAUUACUUUCAUUCAAAUACGUAAAAUAAGAAAAAAGCGAAUCAAUCGAGUGAAAAAAACCACGGUGUUGAGAAUCCACUUUAUUUGGAUGGCGAGAUGGACUCAAUAGUAAAAGCAAUGGAGAGUUUAGUUAGACCCAACACAAACUCUAAGACAUACACAGAAAAUGCAAGUUUCUUCCUUGAAACCAGUGUUUGUUAAAUAGCAGCGCUACACCAGUAUAACGUAACAGAAUUGGACAAACCGAUAUUGUUCAUGUUGUCAAAUAGAGCAAGUGAUUGAGUGUAACAGCAUAUGUCAAUAUCAUGUCCUUGUCUAGCAUCAGUGUCGAACAUCUGACACCAGACACGCCUUCAAUCCAAUGGGUCGUGCCAAACAAUUCCUAAAGAUUUCUGAAAUUGCACUCUUCUAAGCUAGUUUUAGAAAAAGAAAACUGAAAAUGCAUUCUAAGUUAGUUUUUGUCUACUCUUCUCUCUAUCACAAUGACAAAUUAAAAUCCAUGACAAAAUGCCAUUCCACCCACCCACAUACAAAAUAAAAAUUAGAAUUGAAAAGGUUGUUAGAAAGCUAUGAAGCAUCUACACUAACACAGACACCAUAUACAUCACACUAACACAUAGACACCAGUAAUAAUUCAAAAAAAAAAAAAGUAAGUGAUUAAAUGCAACCACAUUUAUCAAUAUUGUGCCUCAAAUACAAGUUGUCGGUGCUAUGAAGCACCAACACAUACACAAACAUCAUACAACAAUACAUGUGUCGUUACAUUCAAUCUGCUAUAAAGCACGACAAUAGACAAACCACAAUAACACAGACACUGCUAAUAAUUUAGAAGUAAAAAAUGUAAGUGAUUGAAUAUAACCGCACAUGUCAAUAUCGUGUCAGUGUCCUACAUCAGACACCAGACACGCCCUCACAAACAAUAGAAAUCUAUGAAGCACCUACACAAACACGAACAACAGAAACACCACACUAAUGACACAUAUACACCGGAUAUGCCUUCCAUACAUGGUGUCUGUCCUAGACAUAAGCCCUAAAUAUUUUCAAAACCGAACAGACACUAAACACACCACACUGACGCGUAGACACCGGCAAUAAUUUAGAAAAAUAUAAACAAUUAAAUGUAAGCACAUGUCUCAAUAUCGUGUCAGUGUCCUGCAUCAGACACCAGACAAACCUUCAAUUUAAAACACCCGUCCUACACACAACCCUAAACGUUUCCAAAACCAAUCCAUUAUGAUUACCUGAACAAGUGGAAGCAAGUAAGCAAGAGUCUUUCCAGACCCAGUAUGAGACCCUAACACAACACUCUUCCCAUCCAAAACAGCCGGAACACCAAUACACUGAAUCUCAGUAGGAACUUCAAUACCCAUUUCUCUAACAGCCCCCAUAACCUCAUCCCCUAAUCCCAACCCUUCAAAACUCCCAACACCACCACCAUCCUCCUCAUCAACCCCCUCUUUCUUCUUCUUCACCCCCUCAACCUUCCUCACCACCCUUUCAUCAUUCCUACUUCCACCUUUCAAGUGUCUUAUCCUCAACUUCUCAAGGAGAAAUGAGUGUUUCUCUUGAUCAGGGUCAGAUAGCAAUGAUGGUGAGGAUUGUGGUGUGGUGGUGAGAGAAGAGAAUGGUGUGAAGCGUUUUGGGAAGAGGGGUGAUGGGUUUUGGGAGAGUUUGAAGAGAGAGAAACGGGAUGGGAAGGUAAUGGAGGAAGAGAGAGUGAAGAGGGUUUUUCUGGUUGCAAUCGCCAUUGAUGAAGGUUUUGUGAAAAGGUUUGGUUUUGUUUGGGGUUUUGGGGUUAGAAGAAGAAGAUAGUGAAUGUGACAAUGUGAUGAAGAAGAAAACAUUUUAUUUUAUUUUUUUAUUUUUUGAAGAUAUAGUAUGAUAUAAAUAAAUUUAUGAGUUAACAGUGUUUUUUACCCCGUAAUAUAUGUCAUUUCUGGUUUUCGUCCCUAUAAAAUUUUUUUGUUUGAUUUGCACCCUCGUAAAAUUUUUAUUUCCUUGAAAACUCCCUUAAUAGGCCAUUCAAAAACCAAAAUUUCUUGAAAAAAAAUUAUGAAAAUGGCCUAUUAGGAGUGUUUUCCGAAAAAUAAAAAUUUUACGAAGGUGCAAAUCAAAUCGAAAAUUUUAUAGGGGCGAAAACCGGAAAUGACAUAUAUUACAGGGAUGAAAAGUACUCUUAACCCUAUGUUUAUUUAUAUCUAUCUCUUUAGGGAGUCCAUAGUAUGGACCCCAAAAAUAAAGGAUCAUGGAUGGACCUAUGCAAUUGACCUGCUCCAACCGGUUACCAUCACUUUAGUUACUAAUUUCUCAAAUAAAAGGUGUACUUUCAGCUUUCAUAGAAAAUAUGCAGGAUGCAUUCAAUGAGGGUAUAUCCACCGAGUCAAGCCUCAAUAGAUCUACACAGAAAUUCUAUAUCUUCAAUUUGGUUAAUUUUAAUUUUCUUAGAGUGGCCUCAGAUUAAUUAGGUUGAAACGUUUUGUUUUUCUUUUUUAAUUUGGCCUAAAACUAUUUCUAGUGAUAAUAGUAAGAAAAGGUAAAGGUUUCUCAGCUUGCAUAGCAAAUAUGCAUAAUCAACAAAAUGAGGGUAGAGAAACCAAAUUCAAUUUCAACAGAUUUAUAUAUGCAAAAAAUCUUCGAUGAUUAUUUCUCUAUCUGAUUCAACCAAAAUCUUCGCUGGACUCAAGAUCAGACCGCGGAUCAACACAGUUGGGGGUAGAAGAAACACCACUAGAGCUUCUUUUUUUUUAAUUAACAAGACUAAAACCAAAAAAGAUGUAAAAUCAAAGAUCUUCAGCCUUGAACUUGACAGAGUAUAUUGAUCUUCCAUGGUUUAUUCUAUGGUUAAUUCUUAUAAGCUUAAGCGCUGAUAUGCUCUUAUGUUCAUUAGAAGGUCCAUUAAAUGGUAUUAAGGCUCUUUAGACUAUUCUCCACACCAUUAAUCAUUGUUCUUUAAAUGAAUUGACAUUGUUGUUUUUGUUGUUGAUGCAUCAGUUACAAUGGAACGAACAAGAUAAAGAACAAGAUAAAGAUUUGUACUCAGUAAUUACACAGCUGUUUUGUAAUAAUAAUAAUAAUAAUAAAAAUAAUAAUGAUCUAUUAAUUGAAAAGUAACCGGUUGUAGCAGGUAAUUAGCACAGGUGCACCGGUGGACCCUUGUUUUAAGGGUCCAUAUUAGGGGCUUCCUAUAAUUAUAUAAUAAUUAGGCUUAAAUAUGAUUUUCGUCCCUCUAAAAAAUAAUUUUGAAAAACAUCCCUGUAAAUAAAAGAAAAUUUGAAAAAGGUCCCUGUCCCAUUUCUGAUCUGAUUUGGCAUUGUUUUUGCCAUGUGGCGCUGACGUGGCAUGCCACAUAAUUUAAAAAAAAUUCAAAAUUCUAAAAAUUCUUUUUUUUAAUUAAAAAAAUCUUAAAAUAUUUAAAAAACAUUAAAAAAUUGUUAGAAGUAAAAUUUUUGAAAAAAAAAGGUGAAAAUUAAAUUUUCGAAAAAUAAUUCUUUUUUUAAUUUGAAUAUUAUAUAUUACUUUUUUUUCUUUCGAAAAUACUGAAAAUUAUAUUUUCAAAAGUUAUAAAUUUUGAGAUUAUAUAAUUUUUAAUUUUAAUUUUUAAUCAUUUAUUUCCACAUGUAAAAAAAAAAGUAAUUUCCAAUUUUUUUCUUCAUAUUUAAAAAAAUAUUGGAAUUUUUUAUGAUUUUUUUUUCAGUUUUUUUAAUUUUAAAAAAUAAAUUUCAGAAUUUAAAUCAUAAUUUUUAAUGACAUGGACUGCCACGUGGCAAAAGUUGCACAGUCAGCAACUGCCACGCCAUACCAUGUUAGCAAAAAAGAGGGGACAAAUACCUUUUUCAAACAAAAAAAAAAUUAUAGGGAUGUUUUUCAAAGUUUUUUUUUACAGGGACGAAAAUCAUAUUUAAGCCUAAUAAUUAAAUAUUUCUGUGUCGUGAGUUUAACUCAGUUGAUAUGAACAAUGCAUAAAAUAUACAAGGUAUGGAUUUGCUACCACACAAAAAAAUCAAAUUUUUGUAUAGUUUUCAAAAUUAAAAAUAAAAUCAAUUAAUUACUUUAUAAAUGAAGUGAUAAUAAAAACUUGAAACUCCCAAAUACAAUUGCAAUAUUCUGAUUUGUGGACAACUUAGUUAGUAAUAUCAUUUACAGAUGAAGUGACAAGAAUCACUUGAGUUAUGUUAAUAUGUUCAACUUAUUAAAAAUAUAUUUUAAAAAAAAAAACUUAAUAAAAAUAUAGACAUUGUAAAUUGAGUUAUGUUUCUUGAGCAUUGUAUUUUAAAUUUAAUAAUAACAACUGCAUCGAAUAACUGACUCAUAUUUGUGAAAUACUCUUAAGUUCAAUGUUUUUGUAUGUCUUAGUCAAAUUCGAUUCGAUAAGUUUAUUUAUUCUCUACUCUAUUGCAUUUAGAUUUGUAUUAAAUGAUACUAAUAUUCUUGUUGUUAAUUACUUUAUAAUAAUAAUAAUAGUUUUAUGUUUAAUUUCUCCGAAAUCUCAAGAGAUCGACGAUUGAGUAAUAGCAGGAGCGGUAGCGGGGAAUGCGUGGAGAGUUGAUGGUGGAUGAUGAAGGAGAAGGACUACUCUUUACAGGUAUGGGAGAAGAUAUCACCGGUGAGUUAGCGCCGGUUGAGAGAGAAAUCGUAGGCGAUGGUGCUUGAGAUGGUGGAGUAGAGACUGAUGAUGGAGUAACAGCAGGAGCGACAGCGGGAGAACCAAAGGAAGCAUGAGGAGAGGAUGUCGGAGAGUUAAUGGCAAACAGUGAAGGAGAUGGAGCAUUCAUAACAGGAACGGGAGAAGAUAUCGUCGAUGAGUUAGCGGAAGGAGAGACAUCACAGAAGAUGGAGUCGCAACGGGGUAUUUGGAUGGAGAUUAAGCAAAGGGUUGAACUCAUCAAUAUAGUGUAGCAACAAGCAUCAACACAAGGGUGUAGGAAGCCACAGUAGAAAUUUGAUGAAGGACGAUGAAGUUUCUGAAGUAGUGAGAAUAAGAAUUGAGCCAGUAGAUUAGGGUUUCACACUAUGGAGAAAAAUGAUUAGGGUUAAAAGGAUAUUUAUAGAAGCGUAACCACGUAAAGACGCUUUUUCCUAAGCUGAGUUGUUAAUAUGACCCAUUGUUGAUCUUUUUGUAUUAUUAUCUUCUUUUUUUUUCCCAGGAUGAGUUGAAAUAGCGUCUGAAAAAUAAGCUAUAAGUGUAACACCCUAAACCCUUAAAGUGAUAAAUUACGCAAAUAAUACAAAGGAUUUAAAUGCUACUUCUUCUAUAAGUUCAAAACAUGCAUAAUUAAUUUUUCAAAACAUCGCAACAGAAUAAUUAUCUCGACAGUUCAUCAAUAAUAAAACAAUUCUCCAAGUAGCCAUGGCAACGUACUACACAUAUCAUUAUCAAUACAUAGUCUCAAAAAUCCUCAAUAGUCAUAAUAAAGGUAAACACCAAAGACCGACACCUAAUCAGAACCCUAAAGACUAAGAUGCCAAAAGUAGUAGAUGAGGUAGCUCCAAGCUAUCCUCAAGCAACUCAUCAAAGCAAACCAAACCUACUCUUGCACACAGUCUACCCAUUCAUAUGAAUAAGGCACACAGUCAACCAAACGACCACUGAGGUUAGUUCACAUCUCAUAAUUAAAGUAUAAUCAAACACAAGCAUUCAAGGAUUCAUGCAUAGCACAUAUACAUACUUAACAUUCCUAGAAUACUAAUUCCACAUGGAUAUUAUCUUUCCCAUAUCAUAUCAUAUCAACAUUUUCAUUCUUAAUCGACAUUAUCAUCACAAGCUUAUCACCUAACAACACCAAUUAAUAUAAAAAUUUCUAACCUCAUUCAUUAUUUAUCCUAAUAAUCAAACUACGCCAAUCUCAUAAUUUAGGAAUUAUAAUCCUACAUGCCACUUUGUUCAUUUUACUUAAAGUACAUAUUAUCCUAAUACAUACAAAUCAUCUAAUUCACACCAAUCAUAUAUGUCACCUAAACCUUGCCUUAUAUAUAUCUCAUCUUCGAGAUUCUCACCAUUAACACAUCAUUUGCAUCGUCAGGUAAUUACAAUCCAUACAUAACAAAUCAUCAUCACCAUCAUCAUAAUCAAACAUCAAAACAUAAUUAUAUUUAUCACCAAACAUUCGUCAAUUAGUCAUCACCAAAAAUAACACCUUCACUUCAUAAUUCACAAGUCAUAAUUCAACAAGAGUCAUCAUCAAUUCAUUAAAUUAAAAUCACCAAUAAUCAUUAACAACUAUCACUUCAAGGAAACAUCACCUUUUAACAAUGACAUUUUACAUAAAAGACGGACAAUUAACCACAUUAUCCCAUUCAUCAUUUUUAACAUCCAAUCUUCAUUGACUCAAUUUUAUGCUAUCAUAUUAUCAUAAAAGUAAAACCAAUUGCAAGUUAUCCGAUCAUGAAAUCACAUUUUAACAAAGUUCGUCAAUUUUCACCACUUUCUACAUUUUCUAAGUAAUUCCACAAAACAAGGUAAACAUGAUCAAACACCCCAACCAAGCAUAUACACUACUCACAUAUGAUCACAAUAGCACACACACAUAUGCAUUAUAGGUCAUUUCCAAUCAAUUCCAAAAUUUCAUAAAGUUCGUCUCAUUUUGUCAAUUUUCAAAAGAAUUCCAUUUUUCAAAGCAAAACCAUGUUAAAGCUCAUAAAUACCAUCCAAAACAUUUUUUAUAAAUCAUGGUUACAGUAAACAGUCCCAACCCUACCCUUUUCCUUUGAGAAAAAGUGACUUUCUGAAAAUCAUGCGUUCUUGAACAUUUUUUCAAAAAGUUUGGUUUGAUUCACAAAACCAAGUUUAAUCUAAUUCAUUUGAUGUUUCCAAAGGUUUAGAAAGUUUUACAACAGUUAAAUACAUCAAAAGAAUCAUUUAGGAAAGUUUGGAUCGGCCCCGAAGUACCCAAAACAUCAAAAUCAUGGGUUGUUGUACUUAACAACUCGCAACAGCAAGUAAUAACUCGCUACAGCAAGUUCACCAGCACGGGGAACCCAUAUUUUAGGUUUUCUCUCAAGAACCCAUUCAAUUUUCAUCCAAAAACCUCGAUUUUGAUCCCCUUUGACCCAAAUUCGUCCCCAAAACUUGUGCAUUAAUUUACAUACAUCAAAAGGCAAUCAAAACAACAACUAUCAUGGAAUCAUAACAUCAAUUCUCAUCAAAAUCAUCAAUGUGUUCAUUUUUAACCAACACCCACAAUUUUCUCAAUUUUCAUUCAAACUUCACAAACAACCACACAAAUUCAAACCCCAUCAACAGACAAACAUAUAUAAACAUUUAUAAAGUGAAUUCAAACAUGUUUCAACAAGAAUCACUCAUUAAUUCAUGAUUUACACUCAAUUAAUCAAAAAUCAUCAAAACAACUUAUCAACAACAACAAUCGUUAUCGUUCUAAACUUAUAGUUCAAAUGAUUGAUUGAUUAAAAACUAAUCUAAAUUGGAAUAUAACAAUAAAAUUGAGACGAGAUCGGGCAAUAAACGCCUGGGGUUAGAGGCGUUGACUAAGCAUUAAAUAAUGCACUCUUAUGAUUAUCUAAAUGGAUUCAAACUUUACUUGAUAUUAUCACAUAUUGCUCAACAACAUCAUUCGUGUCCAAAUGAUGUCGUGAAAUGUCGAUUUCCCAACCUAUUAAACAAUCCAAUAGUCGAUUGCAUCGACGUAUUGCCGAUUUCCCAAACUAUUAAACGAUACAAAAGCUUUGAGUUCCAAUAUUCAAGGUUAAUUAUCAAAACCUAAAUUCCAUGUCUAGAAUUAAAGUUUUGCUAGAUUAUUAUUCUAACCCUAGAUUUAAAAGCAUCUUUCAACAUCAUUUCAAAUCAAAGAUAUAACAUUAAACACAAGAAUAAAAUCAACAUCAAAUAAAAUAUUGCUAGAAUCAUAUAUUUAAGUAUCAAAAAGAGUACAUAUUAACUUGAUCAAGUAUCUCUAACCCCAAAGGAUAGAUUUAGCUACUUACUUUCAUAGUAGCCUUGCAAAAAUGGAAGAAAAGAUGAAGAUUCGUGACAAGAUUCAUGAUGUCUCAACAAAUCUUGGAAAUAAUCCAUUUCGAACACUCUUGCUUCAUGUUUCUCUCUCUAGAAAUGGCCUCUCUCUCUCUAAAAAUCGUAAAAAUAUCAAAAAGAAUGAAGAAGAUCCCCCAAAAAUGAGAGAAAAGCUAUUUAUAUGGCUGAAGCUGUCAACGCACGCUUGAGCGAGCGGAAGACGCUUAAGCGUGCGGCUGGAAAAUCUUCUAUUAGCCAUUGAGAAGCUGCUUUUGUGCCUUAUCUACUGCAGAUGAAGGACUACGCUUAAGCGUGCUGGAAGCCUGGAAGGGCUUUGGUUAAUGGAACUUGCACGCUUAAGCGAGCUGAGGUUGCUUAAGUGUGUAGAUUUUGGUUCAUGAGCUUCUUUCUUGAUCCUUGUUUGUAUUUUCCUGCACAAAAAGGGUUGAGUAAGGCAUACAAAGCAUAAAUGACAUUAAAGCACAUAAUUGAAGCUUUUCCAUUAAUAACAUGUAAAACAAAUCACCAAAAUGCCUAAACUAACACGUGAAUUAGAUCACUUUUGAGCACUUAUCACUCACUUAAACUGUCAAAACACCGAAUAAUUACCAUCUCUAAAUAAUUACCCCAACUCACUAGUAACAUAGUAAAAAUAACCAUUCUCAUUAAAACGCAAAAAAAUAACCUUCUUAAUAAAAAUGACUAAUUUACCUUCACUCACCAAAUGACCAAAAUACCCAUGGCUCUAAUAAUGACUAAAAUACCCUUCUAGGCCAAAAAUCCACUAAUCCCGAAUAAAAUACACACAGAGGCAAUCAAUCACACACAAGCACAUAUAAACACACAUAAUAAAUAAUUAAAAUAAUUUUAGCGAAAAUCGAGCUGUUACAAUAAGCUUGUGAAAUAAGUUAUAAGCUCGUGAUGAAAUGAUUUUUACCAAACAGUGCUUUUCAGACAUACGAGCUUAUUCGCUACAAGAUAUCCAUUAUAAGCUCGUUUCAUGACUUUGCCAAACGUACCCUUUAUAUUAGUAUUUUAGAUUAAUACUAGAUGUAUUUAGAAAAACAAUAUUAUGUAAUCCUCUUAUUCAGAAAAAAGAGAAAUAUUCAGUUAAGAAAAGUCAACUUAAGUUAAAAUAUUUUGAUGAUGACAAGCAGAAUAGCAUGUUGGUGUUCAUCUAUCUGCAAUUUCUAUUGGUACUAGCAUCAAGACGAGUACAUUAGUGUACGUUUUGACACGUUUAUUGGCGACUAAUUAAUGAUAAAGUUGUAAAAAAAUUAAUGAUGACAGUUUGACACGUUUAUUGACAAUAAUUUAUAUUAUAUUUAUUACAAGAGGUGUUGGAACCCUCGCUUUUACCUUCGAGGUUGAGGCAGGUAUGUAGGGGCAACUUGUUUUUUGGUGUUUUUUGGCUAGGUAGUGUGUGCAGGUUCUGUAGAACUCUUUUUUCUUCUUGAUGUCGAUGUUGUUUUGGUGUUUUAGCUUGUUUUUGUUUUCCCAACGGUAUUGCAGUAUCAAGGCUUGCCUUUUUCGUGUGCUUUGCCUGAUCUUUCUCUUCUUGAGAAGGUUGUGUUGGCUGUUAAAAAAAAAUAAAAUAAUAUAUCAUAUUUUUUUGAGGGAUCAAUAUAUCACAUUUAAAAGAAAAUUUAUUUAUGAGUAUAAUUUAAAUUGCAACAAACAAUGUCACUGUAACAAAUAUAAUAUAAAUUCUUAUAUUUUUCAAUAAUACAAACAAUAUAGCCAAUCUUAUUAAUCGCCAGUUUAAGAGCCCAUUUGUUACAGUUUUUUAAAGUAAAAAAUAACCAUUUUUAGAAAAUAAUGAUAAUAAUCACUUAUAAGAGUAUUGCAUCCAUUUUUUUAUAAGUUUUUUUUUUAAAAAAAAAAAUCAAUAUUUUAAAAUAAUCUAAAAACAACUUCGAAUGAGAAGUUGUUAAGUGUACCUUUUGAGAAAAUAUAUUUUUAGUUAUCAAUUAGACGUUGUUAAGAUUGAACUGACUUUGUAUAAAAAAAUUCCAUUUUAUAUAGUUGUAUCCAAACAUACAAUUUUUAUUUUUUUAAAAAAGUGAUUAUUAAUUUGAUAAACAAACGCAAAAUAGAUUCUGAUUUUUUUUUUUUUUUUUUAUAAAAAUCAUCUCUAAAUUAUUCAAUACCAAAAACACUUGUAUACCUCUUAAUUGAUAUUGUGGUCUAUUUGGUUGGCUGGAAUGUGUUUUACCUCAAUACUGACUACUAAGAUAUUUGAGUUAAUGGCUAUACCAUUUAUAUGCAGUAAGGUAACACUAUCAUAAUGCAUAGAAGGUAAAUGAUAUUUGGUUCCCACUUGACAUUGAUAUUUUAAUAUUUUUUUUAUAAUUGGUCUAAAGUCUUGGGACAUGGUCUAAUUUUUUUCGACAAUCGCUUGAGACUAAGCAUGUAAGUGGAUAUCUAUGGACAUAAAUAGUUUGAAAUUCUUGUUCGUUUUGUUGGACAGGUAUGAUAUGUAUACGCCAAAAAAGGUAAUUAAUAGCACUUUUUUUAGUCUUUAAUAGCACUCAAAAGUGCUAUUAAAGCCCCUGCUAUUGUAGGAUAUACCACCUAUAAUAGCACUUUUAAAAUGCUAUUAAAGACCCUGUAUUAAUAGCACUUUUCAUAUAAGUGAUAUCUUUAGUCAUUUAUUUUUACCAUGUGGUCAAUAGCCCUUUUUAUAAAAGUGCUAUUGUAAGCUUUUUUUUUCUUUUUUUCUUUUUAAAAAAAAUAAUUAAUUCUAAAGAUCAUUUAAAAUAAUUAUAUUUUCAUAGAGGAAUUUCAUUACUCAAAAAUAUACAAAACAAGUCAUUUAAUGUAUUCAUUGUAAAAGAACCUAACACAAUGUAUAUAUUAUCAAGAAAAGCUCUUCAAAUUUAAACAAAAAAAGGUCUUUGGGUCUUUGAUAUGUAUCUCUGUUCCUCUUCAUUUCCCUUAUGCUAUGCUCUUGUCCGUUUCUUCAACAUCUCUGAUACAUGCAUACACAUAUAUAGCUCUCGUCCAAAUUACUUGAAACAAGCUGCAAAAAUUCAUACUAGGAACCUUCCAUAUGAAUCCAAAAUUUUACAAGCCUCAAAUCUAACUAAAACUCCUACCAAAUACUUAGAAUACUAAAGNCCUCAAAUCUAACUAAAACUCCUACCAAAUACUUAGAAUACUAAAGAUACUUAUAGAAUAGUAAGAUCAUAAGCUUUAUAACAAGUCACGAGUAUUACCUUUUCAAGAUUACGCAUAUACAUUGAUGUGGAAGAUACACCUCAAAUGACAACACAUUUCAAAAAUUAUACUUCAUUUGGUCAAUAUUUAUAUCAAACUAAAACAAAAUUCUAUAACCUGAAAAUGAUAAACAACAAAACAUGAUUAUUACAAAAGGCUGAAACAAAUGAAAGUGAAGGGACUAAGCAUCAUGGUAAAUAGUAUUUAAAAGCCAUACUUACGCCUAGGCUGUUAUACAACAAUUUACACUAAACUAUAAUUGCCAAAAUUUCCAAGGCUAGUAAUCAUGGAGUAAAUGAACCUGAGAACUCAAUGGUGAAACCUACAAAAUUGAAGAAUUUAAAGCACCAAGAUGCCCAUGACAUGCCUUGUUUGAAUAACCUGCAUAAUUUACAUGAAUGAAUGAAAUAGUAACCUUUAAUAAAUAUAUGCAACUACAUACUAAACAUGUAAGAAAAUUCCAAUUUCACUAUAAAAAAUAUCAAAAGUCACAUUGAAAUAAUCUCAGAUAACAUGCAAUCAAUUAUGAACCUGGUAAGAGAUUAAAGUAUGAAACACACAACAACAAAAAUCAAAGAAGAAAACAAAUUGGAUAGAGUUUUACCAAUUGUACUAUGUGCUUGAAAACCUGAACUUCCUUCUCUUCAUUUUAAUCACAAGCAUCUGAACUUUAGUGUACAGCUGAAUCCAUUAUUAAAAUAUUAUAAAUGGAACUCGGCUUCAUUUUUCUGAACAAGAAUGGAACUCAGCUUCUUAACUGAAAUAUAUAAAUAUUUGAAAGUUUUAAAUAGACCAAACUAAAUAUACAUGGAUAUGAAAAUUAACAAGUAAAAAAAGUGAGCAAAUAUACAUUGAUAUGAAGAUUAAAUUCCCUCAAUUUGUACUACAUGACGUAAGUUUUAUUUUGAGUAAAAGAAGCCAUGUGAUAGCCAUUUUCAAUGCUAAGUCCAAUAUAUAGACAUACUUGAUAGCCAUUGAAUCCCAUCUAAAUCAAUACCCAAAUCAGCCCACACCAUAAAACAACAAAAAAACCUCUGAACAACUUCAAACACCCAAAGCUAAAAACCUUAAAGAUAACAAAAAAACAGCCAAAAACACCCACAACAAGCUGGUAAUAACACAACUCCUAAUUGGCUAUAUAAGCCUUAAGGUACUACUAGACAUAACAAUUCUUUCUUAAUAAAUAUUAUUUUCAUUUCACUUUUUCUAUAUUUUGAUUUAUGAGUUCCAUCAAGAAUUGUGAUAAUGUGUCACUUGUAAAAAAGAGAGACUAAUGUCACUUAUGAGUUCUAUCCUGAAUUGUAAUAAUUUGUCACUUUUAUAUACUUUUCCGUUAGUUUCAAGUUUAAUAGCCUAUACAAAUUUCUCUAUCACAAAUGAGCUUCUUCUGCAAGUUCAUAUUGAAUUUUUUUUUUUUUUUUUUAUUGCAAGUUCAAAUUGAAUUCUUUUAAUGAGAAGAUAUAGGUUAACUUAAUAGAUAAUACAUAUGUUUCAGUAUGGACGGACUGAAGUCAAACACACAUUAGUACUUAGCCAAAAAGCUUCACAAAGUUUCUGGUAACAAAUUUAAUAAAAAUUCAAUAUAAAUAAAAGUGUGAAAAAGCUACUCAACCAUACAAUUUGCCUUUGCAACCCAGUGUAGCUGACACAAAUGUGGUAGCCUCGGUUAGGCUACUAAUUCAAUGUGUUGGUUUACAUCAAAAUAUAUAUUCUUUUUAUCAGCAAAUAAAAUUAACAACAGUCCGAGCACAAUAACCCGAAAAUGUUACAAAGUACAAUCGGUAGAAUCACUAUGUAAUAAUAAACAACACAAAAUAAAAACUCUAAUCAAGUGGAUCAAAACAAAGCCAAACAAGACCACCCCAAAUAACAACACCAGUGCAUAGUGAACAACCUCCAAAACAACAUUCUUGAAGAUAACACAGAUAGCCAACACAGGGUUGAAAAAACCUGCUUAAAAAAUAGGAGAGUCCCUCAUAGGAAUUGCUACCCCAUCACACCCAGAGACAUUAAAACACUAGCAAUUCUAAAAUAGACACAGACGCGUAAAAGCCACCUACAGAAUCAAACAAAAAUAGAAACACCCACACCAAUGCAGAUUCAAAUGGUUUCGACAGAGAACGAUGUGGAAAUUACAACUAAAAUUAAUGUAGAGACUAAUUUGUUUGAAUGUGUUCAAAACUCAAAAUUGAUUUAAAGGGAAAAUAACAUAUACAAUUAAUGGCAGAUAACAUAAAGAAAUUGUCCAAAUUACUCAAUUACACAAAUAUACAAAUAAAACCCCCAACACCCGAAAUGGAAUUGAUGGAAAAAAAAAACCCAAUAGGAUUCAAGGGUCUACACCAUAAAAUGCCGACACAUGUUUCUACACUCAAAAAGAAUAUAUAGAUAACACCAAAAAGGUACCUGAUAGAUAAGUCAUAUAAAAAUGUCGGCCGCAGCUUUCAAACCCACCAAUUUCCUAUCGAACAAAAUCUACAAAAAUCAGACACAAAAGUAAAUUAGUCGAACAGCAUGUUAAUCAAAUUUCAAAAGCAUAACUAAAGAGAAAGGGAAAGACUUACAGGUACGAGUGAGAAGGAAAAGCGUGCAGAAAACGACUUCUAUUAGUUCGUCAGUUUCGUCAAAGGGUGCAGUGAAUGAAUUUGUAUGAGAUGAUGGGUUAGGGUUCUAUUGAGAAGAAUUUCUGGGUGGAGAUGAGAGGGUUCAGUGAGAAGUUGAGAUGAUGGCAUAUGGUUUGAAGGGUUCGGACUAGAGAAGUUAAAAUUUGAAGGAUUUGUGGGUAGAUGUUUGAGAGGGUUAGGUUCGAUGAAGUGAUUUUGGUAGAAGUUGUGUUUUGGGUGCAGAAAAGAGGAGAGGGAAUGAAAAAUUACUUCAACGCCAAACGCAAAAUUAUUUUGCGGUUUUUUUUAUUUUUUUAUUUUUAAUUUGGUAUGUGCAAAGAUAGCCCUUCCCCAUAAAACGCUAACAAAUCAUUUACACCAAUAUUAGCGUUCACUAGAAAACGCUAUCACACUCCUAUCAUCACACUCCUCUUUAUUUUAUCAUUUUUUUUAAUACCAUAUAACAGCACUUUGUAUAAAAGGGCUAAUAUAGGUGUCACGUUAUAAUAGCAUGCGUAACGGAAAUGCUAUUAUUAAUAUUAGAGUCAAUCUUUUGAUAGCAUUUUCUCUAAAAGUGUUAUUAAAUUAGCGCUACUAAAUCUCAAAAUUGGCGUAAUAAUUCAUUCCAUGCAGAUCUUUGUUAAGAGGAUACUUUUGAGGUAUCCAUGGAUAUAAACAAAUAUCCAUCGAUACCAUUUUAAAAAAUGAAUAUUGUUAAAAAAAUUUAUAAUUAUCGAAUAUUUAAGAAAAAAAGAUAAUCACAUUCAUUUUUAUCCCUUUUCUCAAAACAUAAUAUAUCCAUACAUUUCAUAUCUAAAAAAUAAACAUUUUAAAAAAAAGGUUAAUCACAUUUAAUAAAAACAAAGUUCCUUGAUUAAAAAUUUAACAAAUAUAGGUUAACAUUUUUUUUUUUUAAGAAAUUAAAAUGAAAUAUAUUAUUACCAGCAGACUAUCUUCCUAGCACAAGAUGUGCGGAAAAAAUAGCCAAAAGAUACAUAACAAGUUCACAAUAAAAAGCACAUGUUAGCCAAUACCCGAAUAAAGAAAAGGGUUUUGGCACCAAUUAUAAAAACUAUAAUAAAAAACACCAGAUUUUGCUUUAUACCACCAAAAAGAAAGAAGUUUAAUUUUCUCCACAAGUUGAAAAGGAGAAUUCUGAGUACCGCGAAACAACCUAUCAUUUCUUUCCUUCGAAAUCACAAAAGUGCUACCAAACUAAAUCAAGUGCAUAAAAGAACACAUUGAUUUGGCAUAACCUGAAGAAGUACCAAACUGAUGAAAAUGAUCCAAUACGUUAGAUGGAUCCGCUAAAUGAACACCCAACCAUGUCCUAAGAAGCUUCCAAAUCUGACCAAAGAGACUACAAGUAAAAAAUAAAUGCUUCUCUGAUUCCUGAAGACCGCAACCAGAAACGCAAAGCUGAGAGUCAAGAUGAAUAAUCCCUCUUCGAAAUAAAUUAAUCUUAGAUGGCAAUCUAUUCCAAAAAAAGCCACCAAGCAAACACCGAAACCUUCAAGGGGACAUCAUUCCUCCAUAAAAGAGUCGCGGGGAUGGAAGUAGAAGUAGAUGCCCUUUUAGUGGGACUGUGGUAAGCCCCACUGACUGUAUACCCAACAACUGGAUCAGAGACCUACUGCCACACAUCAGCAAAAUCGACCUGAAUGACAACAGUUAGCAAAAGAUCCCUACACUCCACUACCAUGUCUUCUUCCCACGCCCAUAAUCUCCUCCACUUCCAAGCCUCCCUACCCCUCGCCCCACCCCAAUUCAUACAUCUGCGCCACAGUGAACAACUUAUUCUCAGAUAGAUUAUACAGGACGCGAAACCUCCGAAGAGGAAUAUGACCACACCACCUAUCUAACCAAAAUAAAGUACUAGUACCAUUACCAACAACAAGGAGUGCGUUAUCAGAAAACCAACUGCCCACCAAUGUACCAACACCAUCACAAAUGCUAACUAUCUCCUGCAACCACACGGACACCUCUCGACCACCAGCCUGAAGGCGCCCCCCGACUAAACCAAAUCUAGCAGCUAACAGUCUAAACCAAAAACCCUCUCGAUCCACCAACAACCUCCAACACCACUUACCUAACGACAAAAUAAAUCCCUAAUUCUCUUUACCCCCAAACAACUAACCUCCUUAUCCAAACAAGUGAACUCCCAAUGAAACCAAGAAAUUUUCCUAUUAUCCUCAUUCCGACCCCAAUAAAAGGAAAUUAAAAGCGAAUUAAAGGGUAACAUUAUUGGUUUGUUUUAGAGGAGAAUUGAACCGUCGCGUAAUAAUUAUGUAUAGGUAUUAUGUUUNNNNNNNNNNNNNNNNNNNNNNNNNNNNNNNNNNNNNNNNNNNNNNNNNNNNNNNNNNNNNNNNNNNNNNNNNNNNNNNNNNNNNNNNNNNNNNNNNNNNUCUGGAAUAGGUUGAGAACAUGCAAAGGAUCAUUAAAUAUUGAAUUCAUAAGUCAGAUUGAAAAAAGUGUUAUGGAACAUGGUAUUUUAUAAAUAUCUUCAUCAUAGUUGUCAAACCUGAACAACGUCUGAUAUAAGAAUGGAAGGAUGGCCACUAUAUCAAUAAAUAAUUAUUUUUUCAGUAAAUAAUUUAUAUCUUAAUUUAAAUAAAAACUACGUAUACCAAAAUCUUGCAAAUUAAGCAAAGAAAAUAAACACCGCUUGAAAAAAAUCAGAUAAGUAAUAAUUAAAUAAGGUACGAAAUGAGAAAUUGCAAAGGAUACUGACUCAUCAAUGAAGUUUUUCCGACCCCAAGAAAAAAGAAAAAAUUAAAUUAGAGAAAACGAAAAGAGGGAACAAAAACCCUAAGUGAAGGUUACAUACAUACCCACUGUCACCUAGAAUGAUGACUCUGACCAAUGUUCCUCUGCGUAAUGCCAUUGAUUGAUUCUGGAUUAUUAAGGAUUAUACUUGAUGGAUUUAUAUAUAGUUGCGGAGUUGAAUUGUGGAUCGAGGUUUGAGAGUUUUGAGAGAUGAGAGAGAAAAUGGAUAUAUGAUAAAAAUAAGAGAAAGGGGGCACCAAUUUCGAUAAAUUUGAUUUUUUUGUUCACCUACACUGUUUAGCUACACACUUGAAUUGCUUUCAACACCCUCUUAUUUAUUUUUAUUUUUUUUUGUUUCAGUGCAGUGAAAUAAUUAAGGAUUUUUGAAUUUACACAUUAAGUACAUAUUUGUCGCUAUCAUAAUAUCUAGAACCAGCCAACAUUGCAAUAAGUUGCUACUGAAUCCUAAGUACAUAAUAGUCGAUGAAAAAUAGAAUAUAAAUUGAUUGGAAUAUGGUAUACUUACUUUGCAAAGAGUUUUUGAUGUUAGAGCAAUAACAUUUUAGUUUGCGACUCUUGCUGAGGAGAGAGUCAAUAAAUUGAUGCAUGAUGAAUCAUAUGUGUAAUUUAAACUAUUUUAAAAACGUAUUAUAGUCUCAAGUUUGUUGUGAGAUACAUAAAUAUUCUACUCAAUAUAAGAGAAUGUUGAAAAAUACUCCCUCCUGUCGCCAUUACGAGAAACAAUUUUUUUUUUCUUUUUCAGAUUCAUUAAAUAUGUAAUGUAUCUUAUUUAUAUUACAAACGAGAUAUAUCAAUUAUUUAAUAAAAGUCAAAAAGAAAUAUUUACUCAUAAUAGUGAUCCGAGAUAAUAUGUGUUAAAGUGACCAUUACUAUCACUUUUCACAAUAGAUCAUUGGUUUCAUGGAAUGGAAUAAAUGACCACUUUUCCGGUGGCUCUUGAAGUCUCUAAGUAGGAAAAAGCUUCAAUGACCUCUGAAAAUGGUAUAGGAGUCUUGGGGUCAAAAUCCAAUAUGUAUAGUCGUUUAAAUAGUAAAAUAUAUUUAAGCUAAAUUAUACCAGAGAUCCUUUAAGUUAUUUAAUAAUUAAUAAGUUAGUUCUGUGAAUUACAUUUAAAUUACACCAUUUUUGAAGAUAUUUAAUUGUCACAAGUUAGUUUUAUGUUUCUUUUCAUACUACUUAGAUCAUUUAAGUUAUUUAAUUGUUAAAUUUAAACACCAAAUAACUUACAUUUUUAAUAUCUUGUUUAAAAAAAAACUUACAUUUUUAAUAUCUGAAAUUCCCCAAACUUUUAUAGUUAAAUAACUAAAAAAAUUAAAUGGUAAAAAAAACUUAAAAAUCUUAAGAAAAAUCAUGUCUCCUUAAAAAAAAAUGAUUUUGUCAAAAUUUAACUAAUCCCAAUUUUGAAAAAUAAAAUCAAAGACAGAAAAACUUCUUUUACUGGUCAUAUUGUAUAGACAUAUAUAAUAAAUUACUUUUCUCCUAAAAUAUUUCUUAGGCUUUUUCCUUAGAGGGACCAAAAUUCUAAGAAAUAUUUUAGAUGGACUAAAAUCAAAUGUUGAUAUAUUACUGGGACCAUUUACUUAUUUAAUCCUUCUAAACUUAACUUUUAAUUAAAGAAAAAAAAUUAGCAUACAGGUAGAUGAGGGUCAGUGUCCUUGAACAAGGCAUGCAUCCUCUUGUAAUCAACAGGAUUAAGGGAAGCAGCAACAACCUUGAUGAGGACUUGAUCAUCUUUGAGUUGAGGUAUGGACCAAUUUGGAUGUAACUUUAGAAUAUCUAAAGCCUUUCCAUGUUCAGAGUAGAACCAAGCAUUUGUAUGAGUUGGAAUAGUAAUAUUAGUAGGAUCAUUUCUUGAAACUUCUGUGGCCAUAUUGAUGAGUUAUUUGGAAGAGUGGAAAUGGAAGUACUAGAGUGGCCCUCUAGUGCUCAAGUGAUAGAUAUGGAAUCAUGAAUGUUGACAUUAUAUAGACUCUGAUUUUAGGGUUAGUUAAUAUAUAAAACAUUAUUGGAGUAUUAUGAUAUAAUCUAACUUUUGUCAAAUUUGUUCAGGCAAAUAAGUUGGUGAGCUAAGCGACACUAAAAAGAUAUAUAUAGAAAAGAGAUUGAAUUCGAUCACUGAUUAACCUAACAACUAAUUUAUUAACACUUGUGUAUUUAAAAUAAAACUUUUGUCGUGUUUAAUUUUAUAGCUUGCAUCAUUGUUUUCUUACACAAGACAUUCAACUUUAUAUUUUUUUUUUUAUAUAUAAAAUAAAAGUAGGUCUUCCAUUUUUGAUGAGUUAAUUAGUUGUUAGAUUUACUACUUGGUCAAUAUAUUUCAUGAUAUUCUAUCAACAAAAGAAUAUUCCAUAAUAUUUAUAUUAACUAGACCAUCGACGAACGGAUCAUAUCGAAGGCAAUAUUUGAUGGUAAUAGAAAACAAAAUAGUUUAGAUAAAUGUCAUAAUUUUCAUAUAGUAUUUUAUAAUAUUAGGUUAAAAUUAUUUUAAGUAUAGCGAGACGGAUUAACAUUUAUAAGUAAGAGAUAGCGAGACGGGUUAACAUUCAUAAGUAAGAGAUUUCCAAAAAAAUAGCAUAUAAUUAGGAACAUAAUUUUAUUUAUUUUAGAUAAACAUUAAAUGCAAAAGUGUGGAGGAAAAAAUUAGGUUAAAAUUAGGUUGAGUACAACGAGACGGGUUAACAUUCAUAAGUAAGAGAUUUCCAAAAAAAUAGCAUAUAAUUAGGAACAUAAUUUUAUUUUACUUUAGAUAAACAUUAAAUGCAAAAGAGUGGAGGGAAAAAUUAGCUUAAGUAUAGAGAGACGGGUUAACAUUUAUAAGUAAGAGAUUAUAUAUCGUUAUUCUUUUUGAUCCGGUUGGACCAAAGAAGAUGAUUUGUUGGAUUGAGAUUCAUUAUAUAUAGAGAUUGAGCUUUUCGUCAUCCGCCACAGUCUGUCAUGAGUCCUCUCUAUCGAAAGAGGGUGAUGUGUACUUGCACAUGCUCCCGAAGCCCAAGUCGGUAAAUGGUUCAAGAGAGAGUGCGGCUAAAAAUUCAGUUUAACUAGGGUUUUGGUUGUCAAGUAUUCAUGUGGAAAAGUUGUCCUUGAUGGACAUAUGCGACCAACUAGGUGGUCUUCUAUCAUUGGACCUAGAUUGGAAGCUCAGGAUCUGCUGGUCCGGAUCAUUAUCUAGUGGGAUGUAGAGCGUGUUCAUCCUAUGGUAUUGACUGAUCUCGGGUCUUAUAUCAUACUUAAGUCUAACCAUAAUGGGCCUUAGCCUGAUGUGGAAUAGUUCGAUAGUAGGAUUAUAUAUUAUUAGUCGUUAACUUUUAUUUGAAUAAGCUAAAAUAACUUAUUCAAUUUGACAAAUUACUUAGUUUAUCAUACCAGGCUCUAGGAUCUUGUUUAAGACCAUAUAAUGAUUUCUUAAGCUUAUAAACAUGGUAAGGUUGCUUCAGAUCCUCAAAACCAGGUGGUUGCUUGACAAAUACUUCUUCCGAUAUCACUCUAUUGAGAAAUACACUCUUUACAUCCAUUUGAUAUAAUAUUAUGGCAUGAUUUACCGCAUAGGAUAGAAGUAAUCUGAUUGCUUCCAAUCUUGCAAGUGGAGCAAUGUCAAUAAUCUAUUGUGCUUCAUUGUUCAAACGAAAUGUCUCAUUCUGAAACUUUUAAUAUAUGUAUCUUCACCAUCUUCUCUUCAAUCGGAUUUAUUAAUCUAGAAGUUUAUAAAAAUAUGCGGGUAUGGAGGAGAAAAUAUUGUACAUAUUUUUGGAACACUAGAUGUCUCUUAUAUGCAUAGGCGUCAAGACAAACUACCAGAUAUCUUAGGUUUGUUACAUGUGUUUAUCGUGCUGAAUAGGUAUACAAGAAUCAAACUAAUGUUUUGAUGAACAAAUUCGAACCAGUUAAGUUGGCUCGAUUAUUUUCUACGUUCGGAUUCGAACAAAAUCAAAAUUAAACAAAAUGUAAAAACAAAAGAAUCAUAUCAAACCAACAUGUUCUUCAUCAAUUUAGUUUGAAAUUCAUGAGAGAAAAUAUUUUUGAAUCAAACAAAACCGAUGAUUUUUUAGUGGUUUGGAUUUUUUUCCAUCACAAACUUAAAUCAAACCAACUUGUUACCCUUAACGCUGCAUAGAAAAAACUAGGUUUAAAUAUGAACUCUCAAAAUAGUAGUGCUGAGGUUGUUCACAUGAGACGAAGUGGCACUGGAAAUUAACUUGUUCUUGGCUUGGUCCAAUUUGUCAUUUUAAACCGAAAGAAAUUGGUUUGUUGAUUCCUCAAAAAAAAAUAAAAAAAAAAAUUGGUUUGUUGAUUUUAGUUUUGGAGAGAUCUUACUUUUCUCUUUUAAAUUAUAGACAUUAUAAAAGAAGACGCUAUGGGAACUUGUUUUCUAAGAGCUUAAUUUUCCUGCUUUCUGUUUCUUUUAUUAGCUUUGUAACCAAAAAAAAUAAAUUAUAGACAUUAUAAAAUGCUUAUUUAAAAUCAAUUAAGUGUGGUCGAAGUAUUAUAUGAUCAUUUAUUAUGUUUAAAAUCAAUUAAGUGUGGUCGAAGUAUUAUAUGAUCACAAACAGACAUUUAAAAUCAAUUAAUCUUAGUCCUCCAAAACCCUUCCAAAAUCCUCUCCCAAACAGACCCUUAGGAUGUAGUACUCUCAAAAGAAUGUCAAUUCUAAAAUAAAUUUAUUCUCUUCUUACAAUGCAAAUCUAGAACAAUAUUAAAGCUCAAAUUGGGAGAGGUAUCUAACAUGCAUAUGAAUCGUCUCUUUCAUUUCAUUCAACUGGUUUAAAUCCAAAAUAGUCACUGUUUGCCAAGAAAGAAUUGUAAUCAACAAAAUAGAUGCACAAUAAACUUUUCUAGAUUAAAGGGCAUGCAUGUCCAAAACAAUCCAUAUGUUGUCGACAAUAACAGCUACCAAAUUACACAACAAGACAAGACAAUUUUCAAAAAUUCCCUUAAAGUUUGGUAAUCAACCUUUUCAAUGGUUCUAGAUAUCUACAAUUUGUUCCCUUCCUCACUGAUUCAUUUGUUCGCUACUGUAUUCAACUCCAGUGUUCUUUAAUGCUUUCAACUUUCUGUAUCCUAUAUCAGUUCCAAAUAUCCUAUUAUAAUGGACAAAAAUAUCACAUAUCAGUGUCUGUUUAACAAGCGGGAUAUCCAAUUUAUAAACCCACGUUACUAGGAAAUAGAUUACGAGUCAUCGUGCAUUCAUGCUGCUGACCUAGACAGUAUGAUUUCGAUCUGACAGUUUAUGUUGUGACUUUAUUUUUGGAUAUGUUUUGUAAAGUCAAAAUACAAACCGUCAGAUUAAGAUCAGGAAGGCUGAGAUCACAUGACUGUGAAUAUGAGGUUAUAACAACAGUAGUGAGUCCAGUCCAAUGUUACUUAGCUGAUCUUAUUAAGAGGAAUAUGAUAAAAAAAACUUACCGGUCCAUGUAUGUAAAGGUUGAUGAAUAGUUUCCAGACUUGGUGUACAACACACGAUGAUGAUAGUCAUGAAAAUCGGCUCUGGAAAUGGAGAUAUAAAUUUUAACUAUAGAGAAAUAAUCAAAAUAACCGAAACUAAUAGGUUGAUGUCAAGUAAAGUAAAGGAAAAGGAAACUCACCCUCCAUAAAGUGGUAAGAAGUUUGAGGGGCUCCAUGGGAAAUGAUAACCGCAAUGUGCCUCAACUGUCUCGAGGACUCUAAGAACCGUAUAUAGCCAAAGAGUAAUCAAGUGAGGACCAGUGAUAGCAGGACCAAGCAUGGUCGGAAAUCCAAGGAAUAAAAUCUCCGCAGGAUGACCAUAUUCAGAAGUCAGUCCAAAUGGUGUGGCAUACCUUCACAACAUAGUUAAAAAUCUUUGAACUUCAAGAAAAACCCAAAACCACUUCACAGCUCAUUGAUAAUUGUAGAACAUGUAUAAAACUUACUCGUGAUGAACUCUAUGUACGUGUUUGUACAACCAUUUUGUGUGCAUUAUCCUAUGUUCCCAGUAGAAUAAAAAAUCCUCCAAAAUGAAGUAAAAUAUUAUCUGCGUUAAAACUACUCUCCUGCGAAAUAGAAAGCAAGUCUUUCUAAGAAAUCUUCAUAGAAAGAUGUAUUCUAAAUGUUUAUAGAAAAAGUUCCCAUCAUGAAACUCAUAAGCGAACUAGUUUCUAAAGAAACCUGAAAGUACCAGGACGGCAGAGGAAGGCUACUAUGCAUGCCCAUGUAUUUGAAAACAGGAUAUGAAAAAAUCAUCGCAGGUAGAUUGACUCCAAAAUGUAACACCAAUAAGCGAAUAAUACAUCUCUCCUUAGAUUCAGGGCUGUUAAUUUUUGUCUACAUGAAAGUGAGAAUUAGCAAUAAAAUCUUACAUAAUGAUCAUACUAUACUCAUAUAGUAUAAUGAUACUAUGCUCUAAAUCGAUGACUGAAAAAAAAAAUUAAGCUGCAGGAGCAAUACUCGUAUCGUACCAGAUCUCAGACACAAGCAGAAACAAGAUUUAGUCGCACAAAAAUAUAAGACAAAAUUCAAAUACUUCUGUUACAGUGUAGACGAUUACAUAUCAAAUAAACAAACAAAAAAAAAUUGCUAUAUAACUUUUAUAUAAAAUUGCUUGAUAUGAUGAUGAAAAUAAAUUGAUAUAUGUUUUGCAGGAUUACAAAAACAUCUAUUACUGUUUAAAAAGGAAUAUCCCUAUAAUUUUCACUUUUAAAUACCAUGAAACAUCGUUUAUAAUCGUUUUAGUAUAACACAAAUGGAAAGGAAAAGUUGAAUGAUUGAUAUCAAGGAAAUGGAAUUGCUCUAAUGAUUAUAAAAGCAUGACGAUAAGUUUGUCCUUCAAACGUGCCAUAAGUCCUUUAAAAGGAAAGAUGGGGAAGAAAACGUAAAGUGGCUAACCUAGUAUUGUCAAAUAACCGCUAUAGCGUAGCGGAAUUUGAGCAAAUCACUAUUGUUCAUUUAAUACUAAGUGUUGUCAAAUAUCGGCACUAUAUCAUUGUAGCAUUGUGGAAUUUGAACAAACCUGAAUUUUGUAGUUUGAGAGCCAUCCUGCCCUCUCAAGCCAAAUAAAUGGAAGCCCAGAUAAAAAGAAAACAAUUUCAUGCAGAAAGAAAGUCCCGAAACAUGCCAAUUGAAAGUCACUGAAAUUUAUAAUCAGGUACUGCAGAAAAAAAAACCAAAUAAUAAAAUAAUCCAAAUUCCAUUUCAUCAAAAUGAAUAAUAAAGAAAAAAAAAGAAUAAUAAUAAAAAUAAAAUGCAUGUAGUGAUUUGGAAAUAAGGAAGAGAACCUGCCAUGCAGAUUCGAUGAUGAACGGCAUAGCGAGAGGAUAGGAGAGAAGUGCCACUGCCAAGUUACACUGAGUUUCAGAUCGAUACAAACAUUAUUUUAUUCUAUUGUAUUUAUAAUUCUGAAUCUAUGGUUUUUGGUCAAAAAUAAUAAUAUCUCAGAUUUAGUUCAUAUGCACUUUUUUCUUUUUCUAUAAAAAGAGAGACUAGAAAUUGUAAUUAUAGUAAGAUUAUAUCUUUUUUUUUAUAAUAAAUAUAAUAUUAUCUUUUGUUAAAAAAGAAAUAAAACUUUGUGAUAACUGAUAGCAAAAAAAAAAUUAAAUAAAAGUAAUUUAGAAAUUAUUUAUAGAAGACUUAAAGAAAAAGCUAUAAGUCAAGGAUGAAAAAACAUUCAAGUUGAAAAUUAUUCUGCAUGUUAAAACAAUUUUUUAAAUUAAUAUGAUAAAAAAGACAUGGAACAAAAAUCUUAAUUAUUUUAAACCAUUAAAUAUAAAAAUAAUUUUUUUACAUUUUUUUUUAUUUUCAAAUGAAUUUUUUUCUAUAUCAAAAUUUUCCAUCCAACUCAUCUAUUCUAUUGAAUUUUUUCAAUUUUAAAAAUUUAGGAAAUUUUUUAAAUUUUGGAAUUUUUUUUUUCUGAAUCUUUCUUAUUUAAGAAAAAAAAUCUGAAUUAUUUUUAAUUUUGGUAUUUUUUCAACGAUUUUCUUAAUUUUUUUAUUCUAGAAAUCAAUAUUUGGAAAAAAAUCUGAAUAAUUUUCUAAUUUUGGAAAUUUUUUAAUUUUUAUUUCAGAAGAAAAAUCUUAAUUUUUUUUUUCGAUUUAAAAAAUUUUGGAAAAAAAUCUGAACAAUUUUUAAUUACAUAAAUUUUUUAAUGUUUUUUCAGAAAAUUUUAUUUUAGAAAACAAUAUUUGGAUAAAAAUCUGAAUUUUUAUCUAUUUUAAAAUUUUUGGAAAAAAAUCUGAAUAUUUUACUAAUUUUUUAAUUUCGGAAAUUUUUUAUUUUAGAAAUCAAUAUUUGGAAAAAAAUCUGAAUAUUUUUCUAAUUUCGGAAAUUUUUUAAUUUUUUUAUGAAUUUUAAUUUUAGAAGAAAAAUCUUAAUUUUUUUUCGAUUUAUAAAAUUUUGGAAAAAAAUCUAAAUAUUUUUUAAUUUCGGAAAAUUUUUAAUAUUUUUUCAAAGUUAUUAUUUUAGAAAACAUAUUUGGAUAAAAAUCUGAAUUUUUAUCUAUUUAAAAAUUUUUGGAAAAAAAUCUGAAUAUUUUUCUAAUUUCGGAAUUUUUUAAUGUUUUUUGAAUUUUUUAUUUUAGAACAAAAAUCUUAAUAUUUUUUUUUUACGGUGCAUAAGUAUUUUUAUUUUUUUUAUAAGCAAGGAGAAUGGACAGACAUCAAGAGGCAACAUCGACAUCCCAACUAGGUUGGCACUCCGAGAAAUCUCCAUCCUAUGCCGCCAAACUCUAAAAAUUUUAUUAAAAAAAUGGGAAAAUUUCCUUUUUCAAAGCUCCGCCAGGUAUAAUCUCUUCCAUUGAAUCUCUGUUAAUUAAAUUUUUUUUUGGGGGGGGAGUGAGGAUAAAAGAAAAAUAGUUUGGAUUGGUUGGAAUUCUGAGUCUCAAAAAGGAGUAUGGAGGGUUGGGUGUUAGAAGGUUAAGAGAGUUUAAUUUAGCCUUGUUAGGAAAAUGGUGUAGGCGUUUGUUAGUGGAGAGGGAAGGGUUAUGGCGUAAGGUGUUGGUGGCUAGGUAUGGUGUGGCGGACGAAAGUUUGGAGGAUGGGGGCCGGAGUUGUUCUUCUUGGUGGAGGGAGAUAGUCAGGAUUAGAGACGGGAUAGAUGAGGGUGGGGAGGGUUGGUUUUCGGGUUGUGUCAGGAGGAGGGUGGGGGAUGGUUCCGAUACUGAUUUUUGGCGGGAUUGUUGGUGUGGUAAUGUUCCGUUUCGUGAGCACUUUAGACGGUUAUAUGAUUUGGCCGUCAACAAAGUAAUCACGGUUAGAAAUAUGUUUUUAUUGGGGGUGGAGGUUGGUGGUGAGGCGUGGAAGUGGCGUCAUCGGUUAUGGGCGUGGGACGAGGACCUAGUAGAGGAGUGUAGGGCUUUAUUACUGACAGUUUCUUUGCAGGAAUCUGUUUCCGAUAGAUGGUUGUGGUUACCGGAUCAGGGAGGUGGUUACUCAGUCCGUGGGGUGUAUGACAUGCUGACAUCCCAGGAACAGCCUCAGUUACAUUCUUCUAUGGAUUUAAUUUGGCAUAAACAGGUACCUCUAAAAGUAUCUAUUCUUGCUUGGCAGCUUUUGAGGAACGGCUUACCUACGAAAGGAAAUUUGGCAAACCGUGGCAUUAUUUCUAUGGAGGGGCGGUUGUGUGUUUCCGGUUAUGGGCAUGAUGAAGAUGUAAAUCAUUUGUUUUUGUCUUGUCCAUUUUUUGGUGCCUUAUGGUCUUUGGUGCGGGAGCGGCUGGGGGUUGUAGGCGUUGAUUCUCAGUCUAUGACGAAUCAUUUUUUGCAAUUUAUUCAGUAUGCUGGUAGUUUGAAAUCACGUCGAUCAUUCUUCCAUUUGAUUUGGCUUCAGUGUUUUUGGGUUUUAUGGAAUGAGCGGAAUGAUAUAGUUUUUAGAAACAUGCAGAGUUCUUUAUCACAAAUGUUAGACAAAGUAAAAUCAUCUUCUUUGUGGUGGUUAAAAGCUAGUAAUGUUGUUUUUAGCUAUGGUAUUCAUAAUUGGUGGUCGAGCCCUUUGGUUUGUAUGGGCAUCGGUUGAUAACUUGUGUAUUCUUGACAGGGUUUUGUUUUCUUCCGUGAUUGUUUAGCACGCCUUGUGCUGUAACAAUUACGUUUGUGGUAAUAUAUAUUUCAUUUUGGCUUGUUCAAAAAAAAAAAAGGGGAAAAAUAAAUACAAAGGAGGGGGGACUAGGCCAAAACCCUCCAAAGAGAAAACAGAAAGCAAGAAAAAAAAAACAACAAAAAACACCAUAAAACAGAUUAUGGUAAUCUGUAAUUGGGUAAACCACAUCUAUCCCUAAAGUAUUCACUCAUUAGGGAGAGAAGACAGCUAAACCAAUCCUUGCACUGAAUGACCCAUGCUAGGUCCGCAAAAAAAUCAGAACAAGUUUAUGAGACAUAUAUAAAUUUUUAAAGAAAUCUGAGUAUCAUAAUUACCGAUACCUCUAACAUUCCAAUGGAGGAAAUUCAUUGAGCAGUAUGAUGAUUAUCACCCCGAGCACGGGUUUUAGGGGGUUGCUUAGCCAAGACUUGUUGCACUUUAAUUUUCUGUUUCUGCUUCCUUGUAAGGACCGAUGUGAAGUCUUCAGCAGCUGACCUUGCAUCAUAUUCACGAACUCUGUCCCAUAGAUCUAGGCCAUGUUGAAUGUUCUUGCUGUAACGCCCUAGUCGUUAAUUUAUUUAUUUUGGAUUUAUUUAGAGUCUUUUAUAUGAUUUUAAAUAAUAUUGGUGAUUUAUGUGGUGUGAUAUAUUUUAUUAUAUAGUUUAUUUUAAUAAUAAUUAGAUUAAGUGAGAAAUUAGUAUUAUUUUGGAGUGUGGGAAGUUAAUUAAUAUUUAAUAGAAUUAAGGGGAGUUUAAUGAAAAGAAAAGGGAAGUUACUUUUUGGGAGUUAAGAAAAGAGAAAAAGUCAGAAAACGUUUUUACGUGAAAACUGUCAGUUUUGGGAAAAAGGGAGAGAAGAGCAAGUAGAGCAAAGUUCAUCAAUUCAUGUGCAUUUCUUUCUGCAAUUCUAAGGUAAGGGUGAGGUUUGCUUCAUUAGUAUAGAUUCUAAAUUCUGAUUUUUGAGUUUAACAAGUUUUGGUAGAAAAUUGGGAAUUUUAGGUUUAUGUUGAAUUAGUGGGUUUGAGUGCAAAGACUGUUGUUUUGAUGUUGGAAAUAGGUUCUGGUUGCAUACAGCAUUUAGUUUCAUAUCUUUAAACUGAUUUGGGGAGUGGAAUUGAGAAAAUUGGGAUUUUGGGUAAAAUUCUGGGUUCUGGUCGUGCUGAUAUUCAUCGCUCGCCUCGCGAGCAGAACCACUCGCCACGGCGAGCAAGUGCCUGUGAGAUCAUGAUUUUUGAAGUGUUGUUAUAAGCUGUAAAAUGGAUAGUUUUAAGUACCUAGAUGAUUUUAGAGAGGUAUGAGACAAUUUUCAGAUUAAAAAGAUGAAUAGGUAACUUAAAAAUGAGGUUUUAGUGAGAAAAAUGUCAAAACUCCCGAUAGCACCUGUUUUGAGUUCGCCACGGCAAGCAACCUUUUUCUUGUGCUCGCCAUAGCGAGUAGAAGUACUCACGAGGCGAGUUGCCCAGUUUUCUGAGCUGUUUGUGUUUAAUUGAUUAAUGUUGAUUGGUAUUGGUGUUUAAGCAUGAUUAUGAUUAAAUUGUGCAUUUUCUGGAAUGAUUGAAUUGAUUAUAAUGGUUUGUUGUUGACUGGGAUGUAUGCUUCUAUUUAAUUAAGUUAUACAUGAUGUUGCAUUAAGGAGUGGUGAGUCAUAUAAAUACAUAUACAUUGUUGGAGUUGUAUGUAGAUAUACACUAGUGGAGUUAUUUGCAUAAGCUUAAAAGCGGGAGGGCUUCGGCCCUGGAACGCCUUGUCGUUCAAAGCGGUGGAACACUUUGUUGUUCAAAGCGGUGUUUAGCGGUGAGGACUUAUGUCCUGAAAAUGAAUCCUUUAACCAUUCAAUUAGCGGUGAGGGCUUCGGCCCUGAUUAUGGUACCACAUGCAUUGUAGAGGAGUCUUAAUGGAGGUGUCAAGUGUUGCAUGAGUUGCAGUUAUUGGUUUUAAUUACCGAAUGUUGUUGAUGUUGAUAAAUGAUGUUAUUAUAUAUGUUGAUGAAAAUAUUAUUAUGAUAGGGUGUUAGAUUCAAGUUGAUGAAUUAUUUAUCUAUAUUUUUGUUGUGAAUCUCACCCCUUCUGCUUGAAAAUGUUGCCCUUCCUAUGGGUAACUUGCAGGUGAUCCUGAGUAGUAGGUGGUGGCUCAAAGUGUCUAGGGCUCUGAUACGUGGGAUGAGAUUUAAUGUCACCUUUAUUCCUAUGUAUCAAUUUUUGAAUAUUGCUGAUGUAGCCCUAUGGUUGUUGAAUUUAUGUUGUUAAGGCUUUUAUGCCAAGAUUUAAUUAUUGGAGAAUUAAUAUGUUGGAUGUUGAUGUUAUUUAAAUGUUGAAAAUAUUCCGAUGCAAGGUUUUAAUGAAAUGAUUAAAGUUGGUUGUUUAUUAAAUAGUUUUAUAUACUAUUUAAGAAAUUUUGAAUUAGUAGGGUGACAUGCCCGUUUGGGAAUUACUCUGAUGCAUGUUUAUUUAUUAUUUAAUUGUUUUGGGUAACGGGGUGUUACAAAUGGUAUCAGAGCAUGGUUGAUCCGUCCAGCCUAGUAGUAGAGUCGUGUUGAACCACCUAGGAUAGAGUGUCAACUCUAAUGUUGUUUCUUGUUGUUCUGAUUUGUUGUUUCUUAUGAAGAAUCUUAAGAUGGCUGGUCGUAAUGAUGUUGCUAUUGCUGCUGCACUUGAGGCUGUAGGUCAAGCUGUUCAACAGCAACCGCAGGCUGGAGCUGAUAACGGUGAGGUGAGGAUGCUGGAGACCUUUUUGAGGAAUCAUCCACCAGUAUUCAAAGGAAGGUAUGAUCCUGACGGUGCCCAGAAGUGGCUAAAGGAUGUGGAAAGUAUUUUCAGGGUCAUGCAGUGCUCAGAGGUGCAAAAGGUGCGGUUCGGAACGCACAUAUUAGCUGAGGAGGCAGAUGAUUGGUGGGUAAGUUUGCUACCUGUGUUGGAACAGGAUGGAGCUGCAGUAACCUGGGUUGUGUUCAGGAGAGAAUUCCUGAAUAGGUACUUCCCGGAAGAUGUCCGAGGAAAGAAAGAGAUUGAAUUUCUGGAGCUGAAGUAGGGUGACAUGUUUGUCACAGAGUAUGCUGCAAAGUUUGUGGAACUUGCUAAGUUCUACCCUCACUAUACUGCGGAGACAGCUGAAUUCUCCAAAUGUAUAAAGUUUGAGAAUGGCUUGAGAGCUGACAUCAAGAGAGACAUUGGGUAUCAGAAGAUCAGAAACUUCUCUGAAUUGGUUAGUAGCUGCAGGAUCUAUGAGGAGGACACGAAAGCUCAUUACAAGGUGAUGAGUGAUCGAAGGAGCAAGGGACAGCAGAGUCGUCCGAAGCCGUAUAGUGCUCCUGCUGACAAGGGAAAACAGAGGUUGAAUGAUGAGAGGAGACCCAAUAGGAGAGAUGCUCCUGUUGAUGUUGUUUGCUACAAGUGCGGUGAGAAAGGCCACAAGAGUAAUGUUUGUACUAAAGAUGAGAAGAAGUGCUUCAGGUGUGGUCAGAAAGGACACACUUUAGCUAAUUGUAAGCGUGGUGAUGUUGUUUGUUAUAACUGCAAUGAAGAGGGCCACAUCAGUUCGCAAUGUACACAGCCGAAGAAGGUUAGAACCGGUGGAAAAGUGUUUGCAUUGACUGGUACGCAGACUACUAGUGAGGACCGACUUAUCAGAGGUACUUGUUUCUUUAAUAGUAAUCCUUUAAUUGCUAUUAUAGACACUGGUGUUACUCAUUGUUUCAUUGCUAUUGAAUGUGCUUAUAAGUUGGGUUUGGUUGUAUCUGAUAUGAAAGGAGAAAUGGUUGUUGAAACUCCAGCAAAGGGUUUAGUAGCUACUUCUCUUGUUUGUCUAAGGUGUCUGUUGUCUAUGUUUGGUAGAGACUUCGAAGUCGACUUAGUUUGUUUGUCGUUGAUGGGUAUGGAUGUUAUUUUUGGAAUGAACUAGUUAGAGUAUAACCGAGUUCAUAUCAACUGCUUUAGUAAGACGGUGCAUUUUUCUUCUGCUGAAGAAGAGGGUGAAGUUGAGUUCUUGUCUACGAAACAGAUGAAACAACUAGAACGUGAUGGAAUUCUGAUGUAUUCUUUAAUGGCAUAUUUGUCGUUAGAAAAUCGAGUUGUGAUUGACGGGUUGCCGGUGGUGAAUGAUUUUCCAGAAGUGUUUCCUGAUGAGAUUUCUGAUGUGCCACCAGAGAGGGAGGUUGAAUUUUCAAUUGACCUUGUUCCGGGAACGAAGCCGGUGUCGAUGGCACCUUAUCGUAUGUCAGCUUCCGAGUUAGCUGAAUUGAAGAAACAGUUGGAGGACUUGCUUGAUAAGAAGUUUGUAAGACCAAGUGUCUCACCGUGGGGAGCGCCUGUGUUGUUGGUAAAGAAGAAGGACGGUAGUAUGAGGUUGUGCAUUUAUUAUCGUUAGUUGAAUAAAGUUACAAUAAAGAACAGGUAUCCACUUCCUAGGAUUUAUGACUUGUUGGAUCAGUUAGUGGGUGCAAAGGUUUUCAGUAAGAUUGAAUUGAGAUCAGGUUACCAUCAAAUUAAGGUGAAGGAUGAGGAUAUGCAGAAGACGGCCUUUAGGACACGAUAUGGUCAUUACGAAUACAAGGUGAUGCCUUUCGGUGUUACUAAUGCGCCUGGUGUGUUCAUGGAGUAUAUGAACCGAAUUUUACAUGCUUUUCUGGAUAAAUUUGUGGUUGUAUUUAUUGAUGAUAGUCUGAUUUAUUCUAAGACUGAAGAGGAGCAUGCAGAGCAUCUGAAGAUUGUAUUGCAAGUCUUGAAAGAGAAAAAGUUGUAUGCCAAGUUGUCGAAAUGUGAGUUUUGGUUAAGUGAAGUAAGUUUUCUUGGCCACAUUAUUUCUGGUAGUUGUAUUGCAGUUGAUCCAUUGAAAGUUGAUGCAGUAUCACAAUGGGAGACCCCGAAGUCAGUGACUGAGAUCAGAAGCUUCUUGGGUUUGGCUGGUUAUUACCGCAGGUUUAUCGAGGGAUUUUCGAAGUUGGCACUUCCGUUGACUCAGUUGACCUGUAAGGGUAAGUCUUUUGUGUGGGAUGCUCAGUGUGAGAGUAGUUUCAAUGAGUUGAAGCGAAGACUAACGACUGCUCCUAUUUUGAUUUUACCUAAGCCGAAAGAACCUUUUGUUGUUUACUGUGAUGCGUCUAAGUUGGGCUUAGGAGGUGUUUUUGAUGCAAGAUGGAAAGGUGGUACCGUAUGUUUCUAGGCAGUUGAGGAUUCAUGAGAAGAAUUAUCCUACGCGUGAUUUGGAGUUGGCUGCGGUAGUUUUUGUAUUGAAAAUUUGGAGGCAUUAUUUGUACGGUUCCAGAUUUGAGGUGUUCAGUGAUCAUAAGAGUCUAAAAUAUUUAUUUGAUCAGAAGGAGUUGAACAUGAGGCAGAGGAGGUGGUUAGAGCUGUUGAAGGACUAUGAUUUUGGUUUGAAUUACCAUCCUGGUAAAGCCAAUGUGGUUGCAGAUGCCUUAAGUAGGAAAACGCUGCAUAUGUCUGCCUUAAUGGUGAAAGAAUUCGAUUUGCUAGAGUAGUUCAGAGAUUUGAGUCUUGUCUGUGAAUUGACACCUCAGAGUGUUCAAUUGGGGAUGCUAAAGAUUAAUAGUGAUUUCUUGAAUAGUAUCAGAGAAGCGCAGCAAGUGGAUGUGAAGUUUGUUGAUUUGAUAGUUGCUGGUAAUGGCACUGAGGAAAGUGACUUCAUGGUGGAUGAUCAGGGUGUAUUGAGGUUCAGAGGAAGAAUUUGUAUUCGUGACAAUGAUGAGUUGAAAAAGUUAAUUUUAGAGGAAAGUCACAAGAGUAGCUUGAGUGUUCAUCCGGGAGCUACAAAGAUGNGAGUUAGCUGAAUUGAAGAAACAGUUGGAGGACUUGCUUGAUAAGAAGUUUGUAAGACCAAGUGUCUCACCGUGGGGAGCGCCUGUGUUGUUGGUAAAGAAGAAGGACGGUAGUAUGAGGUUGUGCAUUUAUUAUCGUUAGUUGAAUAAAGUUACAAUAAAGAACAGGUAUCCACUUCCUAGGAUUUAUGACUUGUUGGAUCAGUUAGUGGGUGCAAAGGUUUUCAGUAAGAUUGAAUUGAGAUCAGGUUACCAUCAAAUUAAGGUGAAGGAUGAGGAUAUGCAGAAGACGGCCUUUAGGACACGAUAUGGUCAUUACGAAUACAAGGUGAUGCCUUUCGGUGUUACUAAUGCGCCUGGUGUGUUCAUGGAGUAUAUGAACCGAAUUUUACAUGCUUUUCUGGAUAAAUUUGUGGUUGUAUUUAUUGAUGAUAGUCUGAUUUAUUCUAAGACUGAAGAGGAGCAUGCAGAGCAUCUGAAGAUUGUAUUGCAAGUCUUGAAAGAGAAAAAGUUGUAUGCCAAGUUGUCGAAAUGUGAGUUUUGGUUAAGUGAAGUAAGUUUUCUUGGCCACAUUAUUUCUGGUAGUUGUAUUGCAGUUGAUCCAUUGAAAGUUGAUGCAGUAUCACAAUGGGAGACCCCGAAGUCAGUGACUGAGAUCAGAAGCUUCUUGGGUUUGGCUGGUUAUUACCGCAGGUUUAUCGAGGGAUUUUCGAAGUUGGCACUUCCGUUGACUCAGUUGACCUGUAAGGGUAAGUCUUUUGUGUGGGAUGCUCAGUGUGAGAGUAGUUUCAAUGAGUUGAAGCGAAGACUAACGACUGCUCCUAUUUUGAUUUUACCUAAGCCGAAAGAACCUUUUGUUGUUUACUGUGAUGCGUCUAAGUUGGGCUUAGGAGGUGUUUUUGAUGCAAGAUGGAAAGGUGGUACCGUAUGUUUCUAGGCAGUUGAGGAUUCAUGAGAAGAAUUAUCCUACGCGUGAUUUGGAGUUGGCUGCGGUAGUUUUUGUAUUGAAAAUUUGGAGGCAUUAUUUGUACGGUUCCAGAUUUGAGGUGUUCAGUGAUCAUAAGAGUCUAAAAUAUUUAUUUGAUCAGAAGGAGUUGAACAUGAGGCAGAGGAGGUGGUUAGAGCUGUUGAAGGACUAUGAUUUUGGUUUGAAUUACCAUCCUGGUAAAGCCAAUGUGGUUGCAGAUGCCUUAAGUAGGAAAACGCUGCAUAUGUCUGCCUUAAUGGUGAAAGAAUUCGAUUUGCUAGAGUAGUUCAGAGAUUUGAGUCUUGUCUGUGAAUUGACACCUCAGAGUGUUCAAUUGGGGAUGCUAAAGAUUAAUAGUGAUUUCUUGAAUAGUAUCAGAGAAGCGCAGCAAGUGGAUGUGAAGUUUGUUGAUUUGAUAGUUGCUGGUAAUGGCACUGAGGAAAGUGACUUCAUGGUGGAUGAUCAGGGUGUAUUGAGGUUCAGAGGAAGAAUUUGUAUUCGUGACAAUGAUGAGUUGAAAAAGUUAAUUUUAGAGGAAAGUCACAAGAGUAGCUUGAGUGUUCAUCCGGGAGCUACAAAGAUGUACCAUGAUUUGAAGAAACUGUUUUGGUGGUCCGGUUUGAAGCGUGAUGUUGCUCAUUUUGUGUAUGCAUGUUUGACUUGUCAGAAGUCUAAGGUUGAACAUCAGAGGCCUGCAGGAUUGUUGACACCGUUGGAUGUGCCGGAGUGGAAGUGAGAUAGCAUUUCUAUGGAUUUUGUGACGAGUUUACCAAACACUCCGAGAGGGCAUGAUGCCAUUUGGGUUAUUGUCGACAGGUUGACGAAGUCGGCACACUUCAUUCCUAUUAAUAUUAGUUACCUGGUAGCUCAGUUGGGGGAGAUUUAUAUUCAUAACAUUGUGAAGCUACAUGGAGUACCGUCGAGUAUUGUGUCGAAUAGAGAUCCGAGGUUCACUUCUAGAUUCUGGAAGAGUUUGCAAGAUGCUUUGGGUUCGAAGUUGAGGUUGAGUUCAGCUUAUCAUCCUCAGACAGAUGGUCAGUCGGAGAGGACGAUCAAAUCAUUGGAGGAUUUGUUGAGAGUGUGUGUGCUUAAGCAAGGUGGAACUUGGGACAGUCACCUACCGUUGAUAGAGUUCACAUACAACAAUAGUUACCAUUCGAGUAUUGGUAUGGCACCGUUCGAAGCUUUGUAUGGUCGGAGGUGUAGGACUCCUUUAUGCUGGUUUGAGUCAUGAGAGAGUGUCGUGUUGGGAUCGGAUUUGGUUCAUCAGACUACAGAGAAAGUCAAGAUGAUAAGAGAAAAGAUGAAAGCGUCGCAGAGUGGACAGAAGAGUUAUCACGACAAGCGGAGAAAGGCCCUUGAGUUUCAGGAGGGUGAUCAUGUAUUUCUGAGGGUUACUCCUAUGACGGGUGUAGGACGUGCAUUGAAGUCGAGGAAGUUGACUCCAAAGUUCAUUGGUCCGUAUCAGAUAUCGGAGAGGGUUGGAACAGUGGCAUAUAGAGUUGGUUUGCCANNNNNNNNNNNNNNNNNNNNNNNNNNNNNNNNNNNNNNNNNNNNNNNNNNNNNNNNNNNNNNNNNNNNNNNNNNNNNNNNNNNNNNNNNNNNNNNNNNNNNNNNNNNNNNNNNNNNNNNNNNNNNNNNNNNNNNNNNNNNNNNNNNNNNNNNNNNNNNNNNNNNNNNNNNNNNNNNNNNNNNNNNNNNNNNNNNNNNNNNNNNNNNNNNNNNNNNNNNNNNNNNNNNNNNNNNNNNNNNNNNNNNNNNNNNNNNNNNNNNNNNNNNNNNNNNNNNNNNNNNNNNNNNNNNNNNNNNNNNNNNNNNNNNNNNNNNNNNNNNNNNNNNNNNNNNNNNNNNNNNNNNNNNNNNNNNNNNNNNNNNNNNNNNNNNNNNNNNNNNNNNNNNNNNNNNNNNNNNNNNNNNNNNNNNNNNNNNNNNNNNNNNNNNNNNNNNNNNNNNNNNNNNNNNNNNNNNNNNNNNNNNNNNNNNNNNNNNNNNNNNNNNNNNNNNNNNNNNNNNNNNNNNNNNNNNNNNNNNNNNNNNNNNNNNNNNNNNNNNNNNNNNNNNNNNNNNNNNNNNNNNNNNNNNNNNNNNNNNNNNNNNNNNNNNNNNNNNNNNNNNNNNNNNNNNNNNNNNNNNNNNNNNNNNNNNNNNNNNNNNNNNNNNNNNNNNNNNNNNNNNNNNNNNNNNNNNNNNNNNNNNNNNNNNNNNNNNNNNNNNNNNNNNNNNNNNNNNNNNNNNNNNNNNNNNNNNNNNNNNNNNNNNNNNNNNNNNNNNNNNNNNNNNNNNNNNNNNNNNNNNNNNNNNNNNNNNNNNNNNNNNNNNNNNNNNNNNNNNNNNNNNNNNNNNNNNNNNNNNNNNNNNNNNNNNNNNNNNNNNNNNNNNNNNNNNNNNNNNNNNNNNNNNNNNNNNNNNNNNNNNNNNNNNNNNNNNNNNNNNNNNNNNNNNNNNNNNNNNNNNNNNNNNNNNNNNNNNNNNNNNNNNNNNNNNNNNNNNNNNNNNNNNNNNNNNNNNNNNNNNNNNNNNNNNNNNNNNNNNNNNNNNNNNNNNNNNNNNNNNNNNNNNNNNNNNNNNNNNNNNNNNNNNNNNNNNNNNNNNNNNNNNNNNNNNNNNNNNNNNNNNNNNNNNNNNNNNNNNNNNNNNNNNNNNNNNNNNNNNNNNNNNNNNNNNNNNNNNNNNNNNNNNNNNNNNNNNNNNNNNNNNNNNNNNNNNNNNNNNNNNNNNNNNNNNNNNNNNNNNNNNNNNNNNNNNNNNNNNNNNNNNNNNNNNNNNNNNNNNNNNNNNNNNNNNNNNNNNNNNNNNNNNNNNNNNNNNNNNNNNNNNNNNNNNNNNNNNNNNNNNNNNNNNNNNNNNNNNNNNNNNNNNNNNNNNNNNNNNNNNNNNNNNNNNNNNNNNNNNNNNNNNNNNNNNNNNNNNNNNNNNNNNNNNNNNNNNNNNNNNNNNNNNNNNNNNNNNNNNNNNNNNNNNNNNNNNNNNNNNNNNNNNNNNNNNNNNNNNNNNNNNNNNNNNNNNNNNNNNNNNNNNNNNNNNNNNNNNNNNNNNNNNNNNNNNNNNNNNNNNNNNNNNNNNNNNNNNNNNNNNNNNNNNNNNNNNNNNNNNNNNNNNNNNNNNNNNNNNNNNNNNNNNNNNNNNNNNNNNNNNNNNNNNNNNNNNNNNNNNNNNNNNNNNNNNNNNNNNNNNNNNNNNNNNNNNNNNNNNNNNNNNNNNNNNNNNNNNNNNNNNNNNNNNNNNNNNNNNNNNNNNNNNNNNNNNNNNNNNNNNNNNNNNNNNNNNNNNNNNNNNNNNNNNNNNNNNNNNNNNNNNNNNNNNNNNNNNNNNNNNNNNNNNNNNNNNNNNNNNNNNNNNNNNNNNNNNNNNNNNNNNNNNNNNNNNNNNNNNNNNNNNNNNNNNNNNNNNNNNNNNNNNNNNNNNNNNNNNNNNNNNNNNNNNNNNNNNNNNNNNNNNNNNNNNNNNNNNNNNNNNNNNNNNNNNNNNNNNNNNAGGUGAUCCUGAGUAGUAGGUGGUGGCUCAAAGUGUCUAGGGCUCUGAUACGUGGGAUGGGAUUUAAUGUCACCUUUAUUCCUAUGUAUCAAUUUUUGAAUAUUGCUGAUGUAGCCCUAUGGUUGUUGAAUUUAUGUUGUUAAGGCUUUUAUGCCAAGAUUUAAUUAUUGGAGAAUUAAUAUGUUGGAUGUUGAUGUUAUUUAAAUGUUGAAAAUAUUCCGCUGCAAGGUUUUAAUGAAAUGAUUAAAGUUGGUUGUUUAUUAAAUAGUUUUAUAUACUAUUUAAGAAAUUUUGAAUUAGUAGUGUGACAUGCCCGUUUGAGAAUUACUCUGAUGCAUGUUUAUUUAUUAUUUAAUUGUUUUGGGUAACGGGGUGUUACACUUGCUGGGAUGUACAUGUUGUUGUUGUAAAACUACAACCUCUUGAGCUUCUGGUAUUGUCAUGCUAGCGCUAGCUUCAAGACACCUCUUUACAACAACAGGUGACGCCAAGGAAGGGCGUGACCCAGAAAGAGUUUCAACUUGCUUAUCACACUCUUUUUCCCAAAGUUCCAUAUCAUGUCGAACUCUAUCGUUGUUGUGUUUCUCCGGAACGAUAAUGGAUAAAGAGUUAUUAUCCUGAGACCCAAUCGUAGAGGCAGCCACCAAAGGAUCAGGUACAGACAAAGGAGUGGCUUGAGUAGGUAUUUGGACUGCUGCCAAAUCUAGAGGGAUGGAAGUAGUAGUAUUCUUGGGCACAACUGUUGCAGUACCAUCUUCAUCAAUAAAAAAAAACAACGUCAUCAUGAUCAUCCUAUUCUUCGUCGUGUUCGACAGAAAAAUUAUUUUGAUUAACUGGAAGUGUCUCGGAUGAAAGUUGCACGUCAUCAUUCAUUACGAAUUCUGCUAGCUCCAAAACAUGUGUAUUAGGCAGAGGUAGAUUACCUUGAGGAAUAGGUUCAGAAAAACCUUGCAAGUUGCUGCAAGUGGUACCUGUUGCAUCACCGGCUGCAGCUGAUGGCAGAGGGACAACAGAUGUUGCAAUAUUAUUGGGGAUGGCAACUGCUGUUGGGGGAACAACAUCGCAUGUCUCAGCAGUUGGUGGGGGACAACAACACAUGUCUUAGUUGUUGGUGGGGGGACAGUAGUGUGUGCAUCAACAGUUGGUGUGGGAACAACAACAUGUGUCUCAGCAGCUGUUGGUGAGGGAACGUAACAUAGUGUGCAUGAUGAAGAAGCUCCCUUCCCAACACGCGGUGGAUUGGUAGCUGCAUCAGUAACCUACUUCUUUCCACGGUCAGGGACCUUAAUAACCUCUGGGUUCAACCUCUUACAAUUCAUGACAUUAUGUACAAUGACAUAACAAUGAUGACAAAACAAAGGACGUCUUUCAUAUUGCACUUCUACGUUAAAAGCAAAACCCUCCCGUUCAACAAGGAUUUCAUCAUAAACCCGCUUCGAUAAGUCAAUGUCCACAAGAAUGCGUGCAUAGUGUCCGAAAGCUCUAUUACGUGUCGGUCCAUCAAUAGAAAUAGGGGUACCCACCGCACUCGCAAUUUCUUUCAAUGUUCUUUCGAGCCAAUACUCCUGAGGCAAAGCUACAAAUCUGAUCCAUAAAGAGGCGUGGGUUUGUGUCUGAACAUUGUGGUUAAAAUCCUUCGUCCAUUGGGAGAGGCGAAGGAGUCCUGGUUGUAGUGAAACCAUACCCGAUGUCCAAGUCCGACUGAAAUCAACCUGAUGUUCAAAUAAAAAAUCGUAGAAACCCCGACCAAGAGGAAUCAUCUUCCAAAGUGUUUACCAAAGUUGAAAUCUAAUAUAUUCAGCAAGUUCCAACAUAUUUUUCACGUUCUCAAACAUAGUGUAAGGGAAAAUCUUCAACGGGAAAAUGAAGCUUAAAAAAUAAAUAUUACCUAGCUUAUACGAUUGAAAUUGAACAAAUCGAGGAAGCUUAGAGAAUCCAAUUGAAAUCACAUCCUAAACAUGCACAAUAUCAAUUCAUUAAAUCAAAACCCUAAAUAAGGGUAAAAUCUACUUGAAGUAAAAUAUCUAUCACUAAAAUCACUUGCUUGUAUCCCUCCAAUUCUCACUAAACUCCCAAGUACUUAUGUGUAAGCACCCUAAUGCCCUACGUAACCUCUUGAAACUGUCAAUGAAUUGUAGUUGAUCCUAACACACAACAGACUUAUAAAAUGUAAAGGUUUAAGUCCAUAAAGGUGGAUUUGUUGCUUCCUCUUCAACUAACUUCUUACUAACCGUUAGGAUUUGUUUGUCUUAGGUUAACCUAUUAUUUUCCAAUAGAAACCCCCAACAAGUUGUUGAAAUACCUAUAGCAAUCUUCACCUACCUAUUGACACUUCAACGCUAGCUACUCCUAUAACUAAGCCACGUUCAUCGACAUGAACGAAAAUUCUCCAUCAUUUGAUUUACGUCAACCAUUAACAAUACUGACAAGCAUAGAAAACGAACCAAUAAGGACAUAGAAAAAUGAAAAACCCAACAUACACAUGUCAUAUCAUUGCUAUGUCAUUAAGGAGAUCGACAAAUCACCAAAAAAUGAUGAGGGACUAAAGAUAAUCAAGAAUUGUAAAAUAGGAAGACCAAAAUAGUGGUUUUAAAAAUGGAAAGACUACAAUUUAGAUUAAGUUUAAGUAAGGAAAUAAAAAAUGCAUUUAAAUCUUUAAAGAAUAAUUNNNNNNNNNNNNNNNNNNNNNNNNNNNNNNNNNNNNNNNNNNNNNNNNNNNNNNNNNNNNNNNNNNNNNNNNNNNNNNNNNNNNNNNNNNNNNNNNNNNNCUUCUUCUUUCAAUUAUUUCAUUUAUCUUUUCCAUACCAUUUAUUAAGGAUAAUUUUGUAAAACAACUCAUAAUUUCUCUUCCCCACACAAUAUUAAUUACAUUUCUUAAUACGUAUGAAAUGACCAAAACAUCGUACAAUUUGGGAUGGAGGGAGUAUAAGAUUAACACAAGUUCUUCUUGUAUAUACACAACUAUUUGAGACUUUAAGAAACACUAAACAUUUUUUUCUUCAGCUUUUAUAUCUCAAACAUCAAACGACAUGAACAAUAAAACUGUAGAAAAAUUAAGCUUCAAUGUUUCCAUGUCGGUCGGUAUUGUGUUAUUUUUAAAGGCUGAUAUUACUUGGGCUCCACCAUUUAUGUGUCGGUUGGGUAACCGGCAUAUGAAUGGAGUGGACUCAAGUAAUUGUUGCAUUUAAAAACAAAACAGUUAUCACUAGAAAAACGUUGAAGCUUAACUCAUAUAGUUUUAUUGUUCUUUGUCGUUUGAUGUUUGAGAUAUAAAAAUUAAAGAAUAAGUUAGUAAUGGUUUUAUGCGAAUUUUUCAUGCCGUUAAUGGAUGGGAUGAUUGUAUAACUUUAUAGGGAUUUACAAUUUUUAAUCCAUGAAAUUUGAAUUUUAAAGGUAGGCAUAGCUUUUUGGGUGGUGACCGGGGUUUGAAAAUCCCGAAAUUUGAAUAUAUUAUGUAUUGUUCAUGUCAAUUAAGCUAAAAUCACGAGGAAAAGGGAGGCAUAGCUUGAAUGCCUAUAUAACUUUCCUUAACAUUUUUAAAUUUAUUAGGCCAUAUCUCUAGGUUGGUAGAUUAGGUAUACAAUCAUAUAAACCAAUUUAUAAUAUGAAUAUUUUCUUUUAAGAACAUUUAGAUCUUAUUGGCUGUUAUUUUCAACGGAUUAAUAUGAUUAUUUGGCCAUAUAAUCAAAGUUCAUUCAUUUUUUCUAUUUAAUCAUGGCAAAGGGAUGAACCACGAAGAUGUUGUGAAAAUGAUAUCUCUUGGCACAAACAAUCUGAUUACGAUGACGAGGAUAAUGUUGCUUGGUUCAAAUACAAAUUGCCAGAGUUGUUGUUGUUUGUGCUCUCGAUUGCACACAAACCACAACAACUCGGGAGGUUUGAAUUUGAACCAAGAAACUCUAUCUGAUCGUCGUAAUCAGAUUGAUUGUUUGUGUCCAAGAGAUAUCAUUUUCACAACCUCGUCGUGGUUCAUCCCUUUGCCAUAAUUAAAAAUGUUUUCAACUAUCUCUUAAAUUUGCUCUAGUGUUCUUACCAAUCUAUUUUUCAUCCCAAAAAAAAUUGUUGGGAGCAUAGACUCAAAGAGUUGGUGAGACCCAAGACCUUCAUAGCUAGAAAUAUUGGAUCAUAGUUAGAAAUAUGGAUGUCUUAUAACCAUCUGUAUUAUAAAUAAAGUUAUGCUUUCAUGUAAAAUUCAUAUCAUGACAAUAAAAAUGUGACUACUGCAACGUAUAUAGCCGUAAUUUAUGAAGCAGAAGGAUUAAUAUGUAUGUUUUUAACCAUGACUAUGUCAAACACUAUAUGUUGUGGACAAUUAGUUGCUUCAGCCAGACUAAAUCACUUAAUUCAUUUCAUAAAUCAGAGAAGUUUGUUGCUUAACUUUCUUAGAAUUUCCUAUUCAUACCGAAAAGACUGAACAGUUUAGUUUAUAAGAAUCUGCUCAUUACUGUAAUGAUACAAGAUUAUGCAAUAUGUCAAUGUUUAACUAAUUCUUUGCAAAUUUUGAUAUCCCUUGUUCACUCGGCGACUUUCUUUAAAGUUACCUUAGAUAUUUUAAAAAUGUAAAUAGUAUGUCUAUGUUCAAUCAAGAAUUUAAAGCUACACUGAUUAUGAUGUUUUUGUUGGACGUGCGUUUUAAUAUAGUAACUGUAACACCUCCUCGAUGCCAUUUCUAUGAUUCGGUACGAAAAUAUAAUUAUAUUACUCGUAAUUUACAGUAAAAUAUUACACAAACCUAGAGAAAUUGUACACCGAAAUGUUAGUGUUAUAUCUAAAGGGAAUUCAUGGCUUCUUCCAAUUUUUUCUUAAGAGCAUCCAGAGACUCUGUCAAAUGAAAAACUUCUGUUUCUUCCAUUUCCACAGACAAUGCAGAAAUAUUUCCGGCAUGAUCACGCUCAAGUCAUUUCACAAUCGGCGAAUCUUCACCCAAAACCUGCCAUACGGAAAGGAUCAAUUCAUAAGCACACCAGUAUGAUGGAAGCCUAAGCAUGCAAUAGUUGAAAUACUAAAACAAAGUGUUCAUCUACUAAUCAUACCUCAGCUAUAGUUGAAAUUGCCAUGAUCGUUUGCAAUCUUUUGACACUGGAUUUUGAUUCAUUAUGUUGUAAUGGUCUGAUAAUUUUAUUAAUUUCAGGACCAAAGUUGCUGCUACCAAGCAUGGAAUCUGCUUCGUCCAAUACCUACUUAAGGAAAAUGAAAAACACAAAUUUAAUUAAUGUUUGGAGCUCCCAAGAACUGAUAACCUGAAAGUCUUUACAUAGUUUACUAGGGAUAUUUAUGUUUUUAGUCUGUUCACAUAUAUUAAUGUUCAGCUUUGGUCCCUAAAGUUAAAAAAAUUCAACAUUCAUCUCUAAAUAUAAGACCUUGAUAAAUUUCCUACUAAACAUGGAUCAAAUUACGCCCUAAUGUUAUAUCAUAAACCAUAUUUGGAUCUAACUUAUUAAUCUCUAAAUCUUUCUUAAGAGUUUCUGUGACAGUUUUAUUAGGUCCUCCUUUGUCUCUACUCUCUAGUGAUCUGACUAUCCUCCAUCUGAUCUAUUCUCCUUACUACAAAGUCUAUAGGUCUUCUCUCUACAUGUCCAAACCACCUAAGUUUGUUUCCACCAUCUUUUCUACGAUAGGUGCUACCUCAACUCUCUCUAAUAUGGUCAUUUCAAAUUCCUAUCUAGUCUUACCACACAUCCAACGCAACAACCUCAUAUUACCAUACACUGACAGUGUAGAUAAAUUAAUUCCAUAGAGACUGAAAUGAAGAUACUUUUUCCUAUAGAGACUAAAACAGGAUAUUAGCAUAAAUUGGAAGAAAAAAAAUAUAUUAACGUAUUCAUAAAUAAGUGACACUAACCAAGCAUUUUAAUUCAGCAGGAACAAUAGUCCCCUCUUCAAUGUAUUGAAGGAUCUCAUAAGGAGUUCCAAUCAUCAAGCCAAUUGAGGAAUUUGAUUUUUCGGUAUCUGAUGAAGCACGAUUCUUUGCGGACUUCACUUCUGCAUUAUGGAUGAUAUAUCUUGCAGCAUUAAAACACUGCAAUGCAAAACAAGUUGUAAAAAUCAAAACCAAAUCAAGAAUUGAAGAUGCAUACUCUAUAGAACUAAUCAGACAAGAUCAUGAUAGUAUGUAGUUGGGAUAGAGUGACCUGUUCAACUUUCUCCUCUGAAGCACAAAGAACAACGGCUCGAGGAUACUUUGAAUUAGAACCAAGCAACUCUCUAUCUCGUCGCAGCAUCUUUAGACAAGGAAAUAAUGAAAGUAGAAGGAACAAAACAAUAGGAUUAACUAUCAUAAAUAAUGGACAGUGUUUCAAAAGGAUGAAACAAGUUGGCAUAAUGAAUUUGGAAUAUGAUACUGAGAAAUCUUCUGUGUGAUUUUACAGUGCAAGACAAUAAUGAGGAACCAAUAUAGAACAGUUUACCUUAACAUCAACCUGAAAUAAAUGAAAUCAAAACCAUUUUUUUUUCAAAAUGUAAACCAAGAUAGUGGUUGUGAUAACAGUUGUGAUGGUGUCGUGAUGCUUAAUAUUUCGGAGAACCACGGUCAAAUGUGGCUGCUGUUUUGGACAUAUCAAACACCUCUAUGUCACAGUCCAAAUCGUGGUCACGGACCAUUAUUUAAAACAUUGGCAAAAACCUUAAUUUAGGAUCUGUUUUCCAUGUUUUCUGGUUUCAUUUUCACUUCAACUAAAAAACAUGAUACAAUAUAAAUUCAAUAUUUCCUUCGCUAUUCUCUUUUACAACCUUUCGAAACAUAUUCAGCAUUUUAAGAAAUUUUUAAAAUGACAAAACACAGUUGUCCCUAGCUAGCAUUGUAUCUUGCCUCUAUCACAAAUAUUCAUCAAACAAGUCUUCUAUCUCCUUAUUAGCACUUUAUAAUCAACGCCAAUCUCACAAGGAGUUCCACUUUUGGAGGAGACAAAAUUGAAUCUAGAGACUUAUAGUUAAGUUUGACAGGUUCGGGCUAUGACUAUUAGAUUUGAUUUUGCAUUAGAAUCAAUUCUAACUUAAAACAGUGUUAAGUUUCAUACUUAACACUGUUCAACUUAAAAGGGGGUAGUCUAGUGAACUACAGCUCCCGCAUACACAGAGUCUGAGAAAGGGUCCCACCAUUUUGGUUUAUUGUAUGCAGUUUUUUACCCAAACAUAAUCUAGUAUUGGUUUUAAUUACAGUCAAUUAUUUAUUUCACAACAAACAUUAUGUUUGGAUAAAAUCAAUUUCACAACAUCAAUGCAUUUAAAAUCAAUUGUUGUAACCGCAGAACCAAACAUACACUGCUAUACAUUCAACUCACUUUUAACUAAAACCAGUUCAUUCAAAACCAAUUUUUUCACAUCAGAAUCAAACAUUCACUAAAUAAAAAACCUUAAAAAUUGAAAAGGCUCAAAACCUUAUGUAAGAAAAGAGAAUUUCAUGAACCUGAAUAAGAGGCAACAAGUAAGCCAAAGUCCUAUCAUGCUGAGAAGGUGAACUCAACAACAAACUCUUCCCAUCCAAAAUAGUUGGAAUAACAACACACUGUAUCUCACUUGGCACAAACUCUCCAAUCUCUUCCAUAACCUCAAUCAGCUCAUCACUCAUACCCAACUCCUUAAAGCCACCAACCACCAUAGUACCAUUUUUCAAACCAUUUUGAAUCAUUUUCUCAUCAUUAGUAUCAUCAAAACUUGAAUUUAAAACUGAAUUUGAUGACCCUUUGAGUUUUCUUUGUUUGAACUGUUGGAGAAUGAGUGAAUCUCUUUCAGAGUUGGAAAAUGUUGAGAAAGAAGAAGUUGGUGGUAGUGAUUUUGAGAGUGGUUGGUGAUGAUUUUGAAUUUGAGAUUGUAGAGAUGAAAAUGAGAGGCUUAGAAGCUUUGUGAUUCUUCUUUUCAUGGCUUCUCUUUGUGAUUUUUGGUUUUGAGGAAAGAGGGAACAGAGGUUGAGGUUUCGGAGCUGCUGCCAAGGUUUUGUGUUUUUUUUUUCGUCAAAAAAAAUGUUUAUGUCUUUUUUUUUUUAGUUUGAUUCUGUUGGGUUUGUUUGGUUGGACAAAAUGAACCAUUUCCAUGGGAAUUACACUUUCUAAGAAAUGUUGCUUACACUCUACAUCUUCACUCUGCACUCCCCUUUUUUGUCAAUUUUUUUUCUCCAAAAUUAGACGAAACUUUUUUAUUUUUAAAUAUGUAUUCGUUUUUAUUUGUUAAUACGAAUAUAUGAGACUUUUCCCCUAAAUAAAAUUAGAUAUCAGACUUUAAACAAUGAAUCAUUGUAUUGAGAGAUAUAAAAUGGUAGCUUUGAAUGAUGUAUUUCAAGUAAUAAUAAAAACAAUUCUUUGUUUUUUAACAAAUGAGAUAUAUUAUAAAUAAAAUUGAUUCAUCCUGCAGGCUUGCACAAGUCGUGCAAAAGAUAAACCAACCAAGAAUAUUUACAAAAUCAUAGUGCCAGAAAUAUGAAAGCACUAACAAAACAGGCAAAAAAAAAUUACACGUGGACACUCAUACAAAGGAGAGAAUGUUUCCACCGUUCAUGAUAACUAUAGCUAAAAGUCACAUGUUUUAAUUUCAGCCGCAAGAAUGAGUUUAGUUUAACUUUUUCAACUAGAAUAGAAGAAUUAGAAGCCGUAUUUUGGAAGACAUGAUUAUCCCUUUCCUUCCAAAGUACUCAAACAGAAGCAAACCAAAUUAUUCUCAGGAAGGAAUGAGUGAAUCUAGGCAAACCCGCCAUAUUAGUAAACUGAAGGAAAUGAUGUCGAAUGUCACCUGAUAAAACCGAAGAAAUACCCAAUCAGUGUCACACAUGAGACCAAAGAGAACCGAAUAUGUCGCAUCCUAAAAACAAAUGUGUUGGCGUUUCCGAGUCCCCGCACCCUGACACACACGCCGUAUAAUUAGGCUGAAGGACAUGCCGCCACACCAAAUUGUCUUUAGUAGGAUGUCUGUUUCGAAGGAGGCACCACACAAACAGAGACACCUUUGAAGGAAUAUACUUAUGUCAGACGUUGUCAACAAGAGUCCUAUCCAUGAAUAGGAUCUAACAACCACCUCCAAGUAUCAUGAACUUUUCCUGCAAAACAACGUUAUGAAGUAACACAGAACACUCCCUCACACUCUCCUCCUCCCAUGCUAACAAUCGGGGACGCAACACCCACCCCUUCCUCCAUCCGCCCAUCCUAACUUCGACAACUCCUCCACCAAACACUCCUUAUUCACAGCCAAAUAAAAAAAUCAGGAAAAUUUAAGACUCAACGGAAUUUCUCCUACCCAAUUGUCAUGCCAAAAUAAAAUAUUCCUUCCAUCACCGACUAACCGACAGAUGUUAUCAUCAAACCACCUCCCAACAGCCUCACACACCCCCUCACAGAUCCUACUCAACGACCACCAGCAAGAAGAACAAUGGCUGCCCCCUCCUUCAACCGCCCCCCACCUCACCGUAUCGAGCUUUUAGAACUCGGUACAACAACCCCUCAUUAUAAAAACAACUCUUUUAAUACUCUCAUUGUUUUAAAAAAGAAUACAAACCAUUCUCCAUUCAAAAAUCUUUUACCUUAUUUUGAUUA